UAGCAAAAGAAGUUGCGAGAAUCAAGAAUAUUGAGCUCAUGCCUAAGUUUGGUAAAGGUUUGUUCAUCAAGAGGCUUGGUAAAGAUAUCGGCUAAUUGAUCUUUAGUGUUAAUGUAAGAAAUCUCGAUAUCCCCCUUUUGUUGGUGAUCCCUAAGAAAAUGAUACCGAAUGGCUAUGUGCUUAGUGCGGCUAUGCUCGACGGGAUUGUCGGCCAUUUUGAUUGCACUCUCAUUAUCACAUAGCAAAGGAACUUUGGUUAAUUUGUAACCGUAGUCCCGCAGGGUCUGCCUCAUCCAAAGCAAUUGCGCACAACAAUGGCCUGCGGCAAUAUACUCGGCUUCGGCGGUAGAAAGAGCGACCGAAUUUUGCUUCUUUGAAGCCCAUGACACCAAGGAUCUUCCCAAGAACUGGCAAGUCCUCGAUGUGCUCUUCCUAUUAAUCUUACACCCUGCCCAAUCGGCAUCCGAAUAACCAAUCAAAUCAAAUGUGGAUCCCCGAGGGUACCAAAGCCCAAACUUAGGUGUAUAAGCCAAAUAUCUCAAGAUUCGUUUUACGGCCGUAAGGUGGGAUUCCUUAGGGUCGGAUUGGAAUCUUGCACACAUGCAAACGGAAAGCAUAAUGUCCGGUCGAGAUGCACAUAAGUAAAGCAAUGACCCAAUCAUCGACCGGUAUACCUUUUGAUCCACGGACUUACCUCCCGUGUCGAGGUCGAGAUGCCCAUUGGUUCCCAUGGGUGUCUUGAUAGGCUUGGCAUCCUUCAUUCCAAACUUGCUUAGGAUGUCUUGAGUGUACUUCGUUUGGCUAAUGAAGGUGCCCUCUUGGAGUUGCUUUACUUGGAAUCCUAAGAAAUACUUCAACUCCCCCAUCAUAGACAUCUCGAAUUUCUGUGUCAUAAUCCUACUAAACUCUUCACAUGUAGACUCGUUAGUAGACCCAAAUAUAAUAUCAUCAACAUAAAUUUGGCAUACAAACAAGUCAUUUUCAAGAGUUUUAGUAAAGAGUGUAGGAUCGGCUUUUCCGACUUUGAAGCCAUUAGCAAUAAGGAAAUCUCUAAGGUAUUCAUACCAUGCUCUUGGGGCUUGCUUGAGCCCAUAAAGCGCCUUAGAGAGCCUAUAGACAUGGUUAGGGUACUCACUGUCUUCAAAGCCGGGAGGUUGCUCAACGUAGACCUCUUCCUUGAUUGGUCCAUUGAGGAAGGCACUUUUCACGUCCAUUUGAUAAAGCUUAAAGCCAUGGUAAGUAGCAUAGGCUAAUAAUAUGCGAAUUGACUCAAGCCUAGCUACGGGUGCAUAGGUUUCACCGAAAUCCAAACCUUCGACUUGGGAGUAUCCUUUGGCCACAAGUCGUGCUUUGUUCCUUGUCACCACACCAUGCUCAUCUUGCUUGUUGCGGAAGACCCAUUUGGUUCCUACAACAUUUUGGUUAGGACGUGGAACCAAAUGUCAUACCUCAUUUCUCGUGAAGUUGUUGAGCUCCUCUUGCAUCGCCACCACCCAAUCCGAAUCUUGGAGAGCUUCCUCUACCCUGUGUGGCUCAAUAGAGGAAACAAAAGAGUAAUGUUCACAAAAAUGAGCAACCCGAGAUCUAGUAGUUACUCCCUUAUGAAUGUCGCCGAGGAUGGUGUCGACGGGGUGAUCUCGUUGGAUUGCUUGGUGGACUCUUGGGUGUGGCGGUCUUUGCUCUUCAUCCUCCUUGUCUUGAUCAUUUGCAUCUCCCCCUUGAUCAUUGCCGUAAUCUUGAGGUGGCUCAUUUGCUUGAUCUUCUACUUCAUCAACUUGAGCUUCAUUCUCAUUUUGAGUUGGUGGAGAUGCUAGCGUGGAGGAGGAUGGUUGAUCUUGUGCAUGUGGAGGCUCUUCGGAUUCCUUAGGACACACAUUCCCAAUGGACAUGUUCCUUAGCGCUAUGCAUGGAGCCUGUUCUUCACCUAUCUCAUCAAAAUCAACUUGCUCUACUUGAGAGCCGUUAGUUUCGUCAAACACAACGUCACAAGAAACUUCAACAAGUCCUGAGGACUUGUUAAAGACUCUAUAUGCCCUUGUGUUUGAGUCAUAUCCUAGUAAAAAGCCUUCUACAGUUUUAGGAGCAAAUUUAGAUUUUCUACCUCUCUUAACAAGAAUAAAGCAUUUGCUACCAAAAACUCUAAAGUAUGAAAUGUUGGGCUUUUUACCGGUUAGGAGUUCAUAUGAUGUCUUCUUGAGGAUUCGGUGAAGAUAUAACCGGUUGAUGGCGUAGCAGGCGGUGUUGACUGCUUCGGCCAAAAACCGGUCCGAAGUCUUGUACUCAUCAAGCAUGGUCCUUGCCAUGUCCAAAAGAGUUCGAUUCUUCCUCUCCACUACACCAUUUUGUUGAGGCGUGUAGGGAGAGGAGAACUCAUGCUUGAUGCCCUCCUCCUCAAGGAAGCCUUCAAUUUGAGAGUUCUUGAACUCCGUCCCGUUGUCGCUUCUUAUUUUUCUUGAUCCUUAAGCCGAACUCAUUUUGAGCCCGUCUCAAGAAUCCCUUUAAGGUCUCUUGGGUUUGAGAUUUUUCCUGUAAAAAGAAUACCCAAGUGAAGCGAGAAUAAUCAUCCACUAUUACAAGACAAUACUUACUCCCGCCGAUGCUUAUGUAAGCAAUCGGGCCGAAUAGAUCCAUGUGGAGUAGCUCAAGCGGCCUGUCGGUCGUCAUGAUGUUCUUGUGUGGAUGAUGGACUCCAACUUGCUUCCCCGCCUGGCAUGCGCUACAAAUCAUGUCUUUCUCAAAAUGAACAUUUGUUAAUCCUAAAAUGUGCUCUCUCUUUAGAAGCUUAUGAAGACUCUUCAUCCCAACAUGGGCUAGUCGGCGGUGCCAGAGCCAACCCAUGUUAGUCUUAGCAAUUAAGCAUGUGUCGAGCUCAGCUCUAUCAAAAUCUACUAAGUAUAGCUGACCCUCUAACACACCCUUAAAUGCUAUUGAAUCAUCACUUCUUCUAAAGACAGUGACACCUACAUCAGUAAAAAGACAGUUGUAGCCCAUUUGACAUAAUUGGGAAACAGAAAGCAAGUUGUAAUCUAAAGAAUCUACAAGAAAAACAUUGGAAAUAGAAUGUCAGGAGAUAUAGCAAUUUUACCCAAUCCUUUGACCAAACCUUGAUUUCCAUCCCCGAAUGUGAUAGCUCGUUGGGGAUCUUGGUUUUUCUCAUAUGAGGAGAACAUCCUUUUCUCCCCUGUCAUGUGGUUUGUGCACCCGCUGUCGAGUAUCCAACUUGAGCCCCCGGAUGCAUAAACCUACAAAACAAAUUUAGUUCUUGAUUUUAGGUACCCAAACUGUUUUGGGUCCUUUGGCAUUAGAAACAAGAACUUUGGGUACCCAAACACAAGUCUUUGACCCCUUGUGUUUGCCCCCAACAAACUUGGCAACGACCUUGCCGGAUUUGUUAGUCAAAACAUAGGAUGCAUCAAAAGUUUUAAAAGAAAUGCUAUGUUCAUUUGAUGCAUUAGGAAUUUUCUUCUUAGGCAACUUAGCAUGGGUUGGUUGCCUAGAACUAGAUGUCUCACCCUUAUACAUAUAAGCAUGAUUAGGGCCAGAGUGAGACUUCCUAGAAUGAAUCUUCCUAAUUUUGCUCUCAGGAUAGCCGGCAGGGUACAAAAUGUAACCCUCGUUAUCCUGAGGCAUGGGAGCCUUGCCCUUAACAAAGUUAGAUAAGUUCUUUGGAGGGGCAUUAAGUUUGACAUUGUCUCCCCUUUGGAAGCCAAUGCCAUCCUUGAUGCCAGGGCGUCUCCCAUUAUAAAGCAUGCUACGAGCAAAUUUAAAUUUCUCAUUUUCUAAGUUGUGCUCGGCAAUUUUAGCAUCUAGUUUUGCUAUAUGAUCAUUUUGUUGUUUAAUUAAAGCCAUAUGAUCAUGAAUAGCAUCAAUAUCAACAUUUCUACAUCUAGUACAAAUAGUGACAUGCUCAAUGGUAGAUGUAGAUGGUUUGCAAGAAUUAAGUUCAACAAUCUUAGCACGAAGUAUAUCAUUCUUAUCUCUAAGAUCGGCAAUUGUAACUUUGCAAACAUCAAAAUCUUUUGCCUUAGCAAUCAAAUUUUCAUUCUCUAAUCUAAGGCUAGCAAGAGAAAUGUUUAAUUCUUCAAUCCUAGCAAGCAAAUCAUCAUUAUUAUCUCUAGGAUUGGGAAUUGAAACAUUACAAACAUGAGAAUUAACCUUAGCAUUUAAACUAGCAUUUUCAUUUCUAAGGUUGUCAAUCAUCUCACGGCAAGUGCUUAGCUCACUAGACAAUUUUUCACAUUUUUCAACUUGUAGAGCGUAAGCAUUUUUAACCUUAACAUGUUUUUUAUUUUCCUUGAUUAGGAAGUCCUCUUGGGAGUCCAAGAGAUCAUCCUUCUCAUGGAUGGCACUAAUUAGUUCAUUUAAUUUCUCUUUUUGUUCCAUGUUAAGGUUGGCAAAAAGAGUACGCAAGUUAUCUUCCUCACCACUAGUAUCAUCACCAGAAGACUCAUAUUUAGUGGAGGAGUUGGAUUUAACCUUCUUCUUUUUGCCGUCCUUUGCCAUGAGGCACUUGUGGCCGACGUUGGGGAAGAGAAGUCCCUUGGUGACGGCGAUGUUGGCGGCGUCCUCGUCGUCGGAGGAGUCGCUUGAGCUUUCGUCGGAGUCCCACUCCCGACAAAUAUGGGCAUCACCGCCCUUCUUCUUGUAGUACCUCUUCUUCUCCUUUCGCCUCCCCUUCUUGUCGUCACCUCGGUCACUGUCACUAGAUAUAGGACAUUUAGCAAUAAAAUGACCGGGCUUACCACACUUGUAGCAAACCUUCUUGGAGCGGGACUUGUAAUCCUUCCCCCUCCUUUGCUUGAGGAUUUGGCGGAAGCUCUUGAUGACGAGCGCCAUUUCCUCAUUGUCGAGCUUGGAGGCGUCUAUUGGUUGUCGACUUGGUGUAGACUCCUCCUUCUUUUCCUCUGUUGCCUUGAAUGCAACGGGUUGAGCUUCGGAUGUGGUGGCAUCAUCAAGCUCGUUGAUCUUCCUCGAGCCUUCGAUCAUGCACUCAAAACUCACAAAAUUCCCGAUAACUUCCUCGGGGGUCAUUUUAGUAUAUCUAGGAUUACCACGGAUUAAUUGAACUUGAGUAGGGUUAAGGAAAAUAAGAGAUCUUAGAAUAACCUUAACCAUCUCGUGGUCAUCCCACUUUACGCUCCCGAGGUUGCGCACUUGAUUCACCAAGGUCUUGAGCCGGUUGUACAUGUGUUGUGGCUCCUCCCCUUUGCGAAGCCGGAACCGACCGAGCUCCCCCUCGAUCGUUUCCCGCUUGGUGAUCUUGGUGAGCUCAUCUCCUUCGUGCGCGGUUUUGAGCACAUCCCAAAUCUCCUUGGCGCUCUUCAACCCUUGUACUUUGUUAUACUCCUCUCUACUUAGAGAGGCGAGGAGUAUUGUUGUUGCUUGAGAGUUGAAGUGCUCGAUUUGGGCCACCUCAUCCUCAUCAUAGUCUUCAUCCCCUACUGACGGUACCUGUGCACCAAACUCAACAACAUCCCAUAUGCUUUUGUGGAGCGAGGUUAGAUGAAAUCGCAUUAAAUCGCUCCACCUAGCGUAAUCUUCACCAUCAAAAGUUGGUGGUUUGCCUAAUGGGACGGAAAGUAAAGGUGUAUGUUUGGAAAUGCGAGGGUAGUGUAGGGGGAUCUUAAUAUACUUCUCGCGCUCUUGGCGCUUAGAAGUGACGGAGGGCGCAUCGGAGUCGGAGGUCGAUGUUGAUGAAGUGUCGGUCUCGUAGUAGACCACUUUCCUCAUCCUCUUGUGCUUGUCGCCUUUCCGAUGCGGCUUGUGGGAAGAAGAUUUUUCCUUCUUCUCUUUGUGGUGAGAAGAGGAAGACUUUUUCUCCUUCCGUUUGGAGGAGUCCUUCUUCUUCUCCUUCUUCUUGGUGCGGGACUCUUCCGAUGAAGUGCUCCCGUGGCUUGUAGUGGGCUUUUCGCCGGUCUCCAUCUCCUUCUUGGCGUGAUCUCCCGACAUCACUUCGAGCGGUUAGGCUCUAAUGAAGCACCGGCCUCUGAUACUAAUUGAUAGUCGCCUAGAGGGGGGUGAAUAGGGCGAAACUGAAAUUUACAAAUAUAAACACAACUACAAGCCGGGUUAGCGUUAGAAAUAUAAACGAGUCCGCGAGAGAGGGCGCAAAACAAAUCGCAAGCGAAUAAUGAAGUGUGUGACACGCGGAUUUGUUUUACCGAGGUUCGGUUCUUUCAAACCUACUCCCCGUUGAGGAGGCCACAAAGGCCGGGUCUCUUUCAACCCUUCCCUCUCUCAAACGGUCCCACAGACCGAGUGAGCUUCUCUUCUCAAAUCAAAGCCGGGAACAAAACUUCCCCGCAAGGGCCACCACACAAUUGGUGCCUCUUGCCUUGAUUACAAUUGAGUGUUGUUCACAAGAGCAAGUGAGAAAGAAAAGAAGCAAUCCAAGCGCAAGAGCUCAAAAGAACACGACAAAUCUCUCUCGCUAAUCACUAAAGCCUUUUGUGGAAUUUGGAGAGGAUUUGAUCUCUUUGGUGUGUCUAGAAUUGAAUGCCUAGCUUAAGUGGUUGAGAAGUGGGAAAACUUGGAUGCAAUGAAUGGUGGGGUGGUUGGGGUAUUUAUAGCCCUAACCACCAAAAGUGGCCGUUGGGAGGCUGCCUGCUCGAUGGCGCACCGGACAGUCCGGUGCACACCGGACAGUCCGGUGCCCCCUGCCACGUCAUCACUGCUGUUGGAUUCUGACCGUUGGAGCUUCUGACUUGUGGGCCCGCCUGGGUGUCCGGUGCACACCGGACAGGUACUGUUCCUUGUCCGGUGUGCCAGUAUGGGCACGCCUGCCAUCUGCGCGCGCAGAGCGCGCAUUUAUUGCGCGGCAGAGAGCCGUUGGCGCGGAGAUAGCCGUUGCACCGGAGUCGCACCGGACAGUCCGGUGCACACCGGACAGUCCGGUGAAUUAUAGUGGACUUAGCCGUUGGCGUUUCCCGAAGCUGGCGAGUUCCUGAGGCCGACCUCCCUUGGCGCACCGGACACUGCCCGGUGUACACCGGACAGUCCGGUGAAUUAUAGCCGAGUCGCCUUUGGGAAUUCCCGAAGGUGGCGAGUUUGAGUCUGAGUCCCCCUGGCGCACCGGACAUGUCCGGUGGCGCACCGGACAGUCCGGUGCGCCAGACCAGGGGUGUCUUCGGUUGCCCCUUUGCUCCUUUGUUGAAUCCAAAAGUUGGUUUUUUUAUUGGCUGAGUGUGAACCUUUUACACCUGUAUAAUCUAUACACUUGGGCAAACUAGUUAGUCCAAAGAUUUGUGUUGGGCAAUUCAACCACCAAAAUUAUAUAGGAACUAGGUGUAAGCCUAAUUCCCUUUCACCAUCUUUGGUCAUGGUUGAGUUCGGAGGAAUUCCCGUGCAUGCUUGGGAGCUAGCUACGGCGCAAAAUCUGUUGCGUGAUAUCUGUUCUGAUGUGGAGCUUCAUCCCGACACAGUCAAUCGUUUCGAUUUUUCUUCGUUCAAGGUCUUCGGGUGGUGCUAUCGGCCGCAUCUCAUUCCGGCCUCGUUCGAACUCCUCAUCCCGGAGCGGGUGUUUGGUUCGGGAGGGCCUCCCGCGGUGAGGCGCUUGUUGUCCUACCCGGUGACGGCCUCGGUUUCUCGCGUUCCCCUGGCGGAGGCUGUGUUCCGCUUUCUUUCCCUCCGGCGCCGACGUCUAGUGGAGGUGACAGGGAGACGGGUUCUCGCCGGCCAAGGCUGGGGCGGGGUGCGCCGGUGAGGCUUGAUGGUUCUUCUUCGGCGGUUUCUUCGGCGGCUUCUCAGUCCGGGUGGAGGCACGUGCAUGGGCGGCUUGGCCUCGCCCCUAUGCAUGGGCGACACGUGGCCUCUGGCCGGUGGCCGUUGCAUGGCGGUGUGCAGGGCGGUGACGGCUCGUUUCCUGUGACCGCGUGUGCUGGCCCUGAGGAGCGUGGGCGGGACCCCAUUGAUGGUGGUGCUCUUUUUGGUGGAGUCAUUCUGGCUCCCGAGGUGGAUGCUGUGGUCGGGCGUGCUGAGGGACCUGGCUCCAAUGGUGGUUCGAGCCAGGGUCCUUCGGUCGGUUUUCCGUCCUCGUCGGGUGGGCCGGGCCGAUCCCUGGAGUCUGUCGGGCCAGUUCGGCCUUUGGAGAUUGUUGGGCCGGAGAUUGAGUUGCAUUUGGGUGGGUCCGGUGUGGACUCUGGCGAUCUGCGCAGCACUUUUGUUGGUGGUGGAGUCGCUCCGUCGCCGGCUGCCGGCGCUACUCCCGUGGCGGCGAAGGCCGGUAUGGUCCCCGCUGCGGAUGCCGACAUGAUCCCUCCGUCGCCGACUGCCGGUGCUCCUCCUGUGACGAAGGAUGCCGGCAUGGUCCCUGCUGCGGAUGCUGGUUUGGUCCCUCCGUUGCCAGCUGCCGACGCUGCCGACAUGGCCCCUGCUGCGGUUGGGCCCCCCUCUUCCUUCCCUGCUGCUGCGAGUGGUGGUUUGCCCGUUGCCGGGUCUGGGGAACCAUCUUCGUCGUCGACUGCGCCACCUGUGCUGACGGGAGGGAUGAAGUCGCUCACGAUGAUGUUGGGUCCUGGCACGAGGAUUUGGCCCCGUUCCCCAAUCACCUACUCCGUAAGGNNNNNNNNNNNNNNNNNNNNNNNNNNNNNNNNNNNNNNNNNNNNNNNNNNNNNNNNNNNNNNNNNNNNNNNNNNNNNNNNNNNNNNNNNNNNNNNNNNNNUAUGCUUGGUUCUUGAGUGUUGGACCGGAUUGGUAGCCAAUUUUACCGCACUCUCAUUAUCACACAUGAGAGACACAUUCUUGAAAAUAAUUCCAUAGUCCAAUAAGGUUUGUUUCAUCCAUAAUAGUUGAGCACAACAAUUUCCGGCCGAUAUAUAUUCCGCCUCGGCGGUAGAUAGAGCAACCGAAUUUUGUUUCUUAGAAGACCAUGAAACAAGAGAUCUACCAAGAAAUUGACAACAACCGGAGGUGCUUUUUCUAUCAACUUUGCACCCCGCAUAGUCCGAAUCCGAAUAUCCAAUUAAUUCAAAUUGAGCACCUUUGGGAUACCAUAGACCAAUAUUGGGAGUAUACUUCAAAUAUCUUAGAAUUCUUUUACGGCCUUCAAGUGAACCUCUCUAGGUGAAGCUUGAAAUCGAGCACACAUGCAUACACUAAACAUAACAUCGGGCCUAGAUGCGGUAAUAUAAAGCAAACUACCAAUUAUUGAACGAUAAAGUUUUUGAUCAACCAUAUACCUCCUUCAUCUAAGUCUAGAUGACCAUUUGUUGCCAUUGGAGUCUUGAUAGGCUUAGCAUUUUCUAAACCAAACUUCUUGAGCAUGUCCUUCAAAUAUUUUGAUUGACUUAUAAAAAUUCCAUCUUUCAAUUGUUUGAUUUGAAGGCCAAGAAAGAAGCUCAAUUCUCCUAUCAUAGACAUUUCAAAUUCUUUGACAUCAUUUUCCGAACUCCUCACAAAUAAUUCAUUAGUAGAUCCAAAAAUAAUAUCAUCAACGUAGAUUUGACAAACAAAUAAGUCUUUGCCAAUUCUUUUAGUGAAUAGAGUAGUGUCAACCUUCCCAAUUUUGAAGUCUUUGGAAAGCAAGAAAUCCCUAAGCCUUUCAUACCAAGCGCGUGGAGCUUGCUUAAGCCCAUAGAGAGCUUUAGAAAGCUUGAACACAUGGUUAGGUCUUUUGGGGUCCUCAAAACCGGGAGGUUGUUCAACAUACACUAGUUCACUAAUCUUACAUUUAGGAAGGCACUCUUUACAUCCAUUUAGUAGAGCUUGAUAUUAUGUGCACAAGCAUAAGCAAGUAGAAUCCGGAUUGCUUCUAAUCUUGCUACGGGAGCAAAUGUCCCCCAAAUCCAAUCCUUCAAUUUGAGUAUAUCCUUGUGCAACUAAUCUUGGCUUGUUUCUUACUACCACACCAUCUUCAUUGUGCUUGUUGCGAAACACCCAUUUUGUACCAAUAACAUUGUGGUUCUUUGGUCUCUCAACAAGCUCCCAAACUUCAUUUCGAGCGAAGUUAUUUAAUUCUUCAUGCAUUGCAUUCACCCAAUCAACAUCAAGUAGAGCUUCAUCUACACGGUUAGGUUCCAACAAGAUACAAAAGAGAAAUGUUCACAAAACGAAGCUAUGCGAGAGCGAGUUUGAACACCCUUACUAAUAUCACCCACAAUUUGAUCAACCGGGUGAUCCUUCACAAUGGAAUGAUGAAUUCUUGAUACCGUUUGAUAAUUGCUUGAUGAAGCAUUAGGAGGAACCGAAGGUCUUGAAGUACCUUGAUCAUGAGUAUCCAUGGUUUCAUUAAGUUGUUGGCUUUGGUGAUCUUCCUUAUUUAUAGUUGAGGAUGAAGGAAUGACAACCACACUAUCUUCAUCAUCAUCUCCUUUGGUUUUAUUUCACCAAUGGCCAUUGUUUUCAUUGCAUUUAUCAAUUGAGUUCCCCCAACAUCAUCGAGAUUAUCACCCUCAUCUUGAGACCCAUUUGUUUCAUCGAAUUCAACAUCAUAUGCUUCUCAAUAAUACCAUGAAUUUUGUUGAAGACUCUAUAAGCCUUAUUAUUUGAUGAAUAUCCAAGAAGAAAACCCUCAUCACAUUUCUUCUCAAAUUUAGAAAGCCGGCUCCCCUUUCUCAAAAUAUAACAUUUGCAACCGAAUACCCUAAAAUAUGAGAUAUUUGGCUUUCUACCAAUGAGCAAUUCAUAUGGAGUUUUCUUCAAGAGCUUGUGACAAUAUAGUCUAUUUGAUGAAUGACAAGCGGUAUUUAUUGCUUCGGCCAAUAAGAAUCCGAUAUAUUAUAUUCCGCUAACAUAGACCUUGCCAUAUCAAUAAGAGUUCUAUUCUUUCUUUCAACAAUACCAUUUUGUUCCGGGGUAUAUUUUGAAGAGAAUUCAUGUUUGAUACCCUUGUUAUCACAAUAUUGAUCAAUUCUUGCAUUUUUGAAUUCCGACCCAUUAUCACUUCUAACCUUUUUGAUGUCGAAAUCAAAUUGAUUUUGAGCCAAUAUAGCAAAUGACUUGAAUGUUUCAAACACAUUGGAUUUGUCUCGUAGAAAAUAGACCCAAGUAAAUCUUGAAUAGUCAUCCACAAUCACAAGACAAUAGGAAUUACCACCAAUACUUACAAAAGAUGUGGGCCCAAAUAAAUCCAUAUGAAGUAAUUCCAAGGGUCGAUGAGUGGACAUUUGACUUUAUUUGGAUGAGUGUUUGCCACUUGCCUUACCGGCUUGACAAGAGCUACACAAUUUGUUCUUUUCAAACUUCACAUCUUUUAAGCCUCGAACUAAGUCAUGCUUGGUUAACCGAUUGAGUUGCUUCAUCCCAACAUGACCAAGUCUUCUAUGCCAUAACCAACCUAGUGAAGCUUUUGAAAAUAGGCAAGUUGUGAGCUUUGCCUCAUUAGAUGAGAAAUCAACAAGAUAAAGAUUUUCAUGUCUAAAACCUUUAAACUUAAGAUUGCUACCAUCAACACUAGAGAUAAUAACAUCUUCAACCGUGAAAUUGCAACAAAAUCCUAAAUCACAUAAUUGAGCUACGGAAAGUAAAUUAAAAUUCAAAGACUCAACCAAUAGCACAUUUGAUAUAGAAUGAUCAUUUGAGAUAGCAAUUUUACCCAAACCUUUAACCUUUCCUUUACGAUUAUCUCCAAAUGUGAUACUAUCAUAAUUUGAGCAAUCUUCCUCACUCAUUUGGGUAAACAUUUUCAUAUCCCCGGUCAUGGUGUUGAGUACAUCCACUAUCCAACACCCAAUGAUUCCCUCCCGCCUUGUAGUUUACCUACAAAAGGAAAUCAAUCUCUUUUAGGUACCCAAACUUGCUUGGGUCCUUGGAUGUUAGUGACCAAGGUCUUUGGUACCCAAAUAGCUUUCUUUUUGUUUCCAACAAUUGAAGUACCAACAAAUUUAGCAUGAACACCUUUUGCAUUGUGAGAAAGAACAUAACAAUGCUCAAAACAAGUGGAGGAUACAUUUUUGAACUUGGGACAAUUUUUCUUAACAUGUCCCUUUUUGUGACACUUGUGACACACUUUGUCACAUUCUUUCACAAACAAUGUCUUUUGCUUUACAAAAGCAUUCUUUCCUUUCUGGGAACAUAUCCAAGACCUUCACGGUUAAGAGAGCAUCUUUGACUUCCCAAUAUGAAAUCCAAUUUAGUCUUACCACCAUAUGCCUUUUCUAAGUCAUGAGUUAGAGUAUUUAUUCUAUCUACUAACACUUCAUUCUCAACAAUAAUUUUUGAUUCAUCAAGAGCAAUGUUAUCAUUGAGAGAAAUUUUGCAUUUAUCACAAAUAAAGUUAGUAGGUAGUGGUUCACUUGUAAGACUAUCAAGUAAGUCACAAGUGACUCCAACAUCCUUAGUGACCACCUCAACUUCAUGCACAAUAGAUAAUUUUGAGCAUCCGCAAGCUUCUCACAAUUUUCUUUGAGGUCAUUGUGAGAGGUCUUGAGCUCCUCAAAAGACACUUCGAGGUUUUUAUACAAUUCCUUCAAGGCCUUAAAUUUUUCUUUUUCUUUGUGCAUGUAGUCAUCGGCCUCACCUAACAUUCUAACAAGAUCAUCAUAUGAAUAGCCAUCAUCAUCGACAUCAUCGAUAUCAUCAUCAUCAUUUAUAUCAUUUAAAUCGGUGAUGAUUUUACCUUAGCAUCUCCCUUUGCCAUUAGGCAAUGGGGGAUGAGAAGAGUGAGGGAGCUUCCUUGAUGGCAAUUCCGGCAUUAAGCUUGGAUGAGGUGUCAUCAUCAUCAUCAUCCGAGCUAUCAUCCGAGUCCCAUUCAACUAAGUAGGCUUUGCCAUCUUUCUUCUUGUUAUAGUAUUUCUUUUCUUCUUGUCACUUUCAUCUUUGCCCUUCUUCUUCUUGCUUGGACAAUUCAUGGCAAUGUGACCAGGUUCCCCACACUCAAAACAUUUUCUAUCAUUGAAAGCAUUUCUUCUAGAUGUUUGACCUCUUCUAGGUUGACCUCUUCUCAUCUUCAUGAAUUUAUUGAAUUUCCUUACAAAUAAAGCCAUGUCACCAUCACUCUCACUUUCAUUUUCUUCAUCAUUGCUAUCUUCCUUUUCAAUUGCCUUUGAGGCCUUGGCUUUGAGAGCAAUAGAUUCAUUUUUCACCUUCUUUGCCAAACUUAAAGCAUCGGCUUGUGACUUCUUAAAUAUAUCUUGAGUGAGAAUUUCUCCCAAUACUUCGGUUGGAGAGGUUGUAGAUAGAUCACUCCUUACUAGCAUUGUCACAAUAGUCUCAUAUUUCUCCGGAAGUGAUCUAAGGAACUUGUGUGUGAAGUCCACAUCCGGUACAUUAAAACCAAGUCCUUUGAGUUCAUUUACUAUCUCAUUCAACCGAUUGAACAUAUCGGAUACACUCUCAUCUUCUUUCAUAAUAAAUUGCUCAAACUUCCCUUUGCACACAUAUAGUUUGGCACUCUUCACAAUUGUAGUUCCUUCAUGAAUUUCCAUUAGUUUUACCCAAAUCUCAUGAGCGGUUGUGAGAUUCUUGAUACGAUUGAACUCAUUUAUAUCAAGAGCAUCAUAAAAGACAUUCAUGGCUUGAUCAUUUGUGAGGAUAUUCUCAUUAUCACUAACGGAUGGUUCAUCUUCCUUCAAUACAACAAAUCCAUCUCUAACAAUUGGCCAAAUUUUUCCACCCAUUGCUCUAAGAUGCAUUGACAUUCUUAUUUUCCAAUAAUCAUAAUUGUUUCCAUCAAAGUGCGGUGGCUUCCCAAUGUGCACAUUGUUGUUACUAGCCAUUUUGUCCCACUCCGGGAUGAUUAGAUCCACAAACACUGGAGUCCUCGGCUCUGAUACCACUUGUAGGAUCUAGGACACCGGCUAGAGGGGGGGUGAAUAGACGGUUUUGACUAAAAACAACAAUACUAAGUAAAUUUAAUCAAUACGACAAGAGGAAUAAAUUUACUAGUGUCAAUAAGUAAACAAUGUAUGAAAGACAACUACGGAGAUUGAAUACUUGAAGAACAAUAAGCAAAACACUAAUCAAUUGCAAGGCAAUAAGUAAUGCUAGAAGGAAUAGACACCGAAAUUUAUCCCAUGGUAUCGAUGAUUUGCCGAUCACCCCUAAUCCACAUUGAGGUGGACUUCAAGCUCUCACUUGCUCCUCUAUCAAGACACGACUUGAUCUUUGAGCCAAGUGGACAAGAAAUCACUCAAUACCUCGAUUCCACUAAUGUCACCUUUGCCGCUCCGGCGAGGUAGGCACGAACCCUCACAAUCAACACCGCGGCUUCUCCACAAUCUUCUUGGAGAGCUCGACGGAGACAAUCACCCGAGCCGUCUAGGAGGCGGCAACCUCCAAGAGUAACAAGCCAAUGACGCUUGCUCGGUGUACCACCUAGUGCCUCAAGAAUCACCAAAUGAUGCAAAUGCACUAGGAACCCUCAAUCUCUCACUAGAAUGCAAUCUCAAGCAAAGAGUGUGAGAGAGUGAGUUGGAGGAUCACAAAUGAGCUCAAUGUGUGCAAGGAAUGGCCAAGAGAGGUCUCUCACACGAGCUACCCUUCUAUUUAUAGCCCCCCAUCUAAAACCAACCGUUAUGUGCAAAAGGGGGCAAUUCUGCGCACACGCGGACCGUCCGCGCCCUAGGCCCGGACGGUCCGCCGUACACCAUAACGGCUAUAAUGACCGUUGAAACAUGUCAGAGCUGUUUCAAAAGGUGGGUCCGGACAGUCCGCCCUUCAAGGCCGGACCGUCCGCGACCUGGCAAAUUCAAACACCCGAGCCUCGGAUCAAACGGAGUUAACACACGCGGACCGUCCGGCUAUAAAUCCCGGACCGUCCGCGACCUGAGACAGUACUGUCCGGACUGGUCCCCCGGACCGUCCGUAGUACAAAUCUAUAAAAACACACAGUCCCUGUCCAAAAACGAGUUAGACACAUGCGGACCGUCCGCCCUCACAGGCGGACCGUCCGCCUAUAAUUCAGGGACUGACCCGAAGCCACCUUCCUUUGGUCAGGACUGCGGACGGUCCGGCCCUAAGGCCCGGACGGUCCGCAGUACAAUAGAACACAGUGUCAACACAAAUGGUAAGACUUCGGACCCUCUGGAGGGUCGCGGACGGUCCGCCCCAAGGGCCGGACAGUCCGCGCGACCAAGACUUCUCAAAUCUCAAACAUGCUUUUGAAUGAACUUUUAACUCACGAAAUGAGAAGCGCUGUUAGUCCUCAUGCAAAUGCAACUACUUGAUGCUCUAUGAGGCACUAAGUUUUACACAGAUCUAAGUCAUUGACCCCUCUUAAUAGUACGGCUAUCUAGCCUACUAAUCCGGUCAGGUAUCUUCUCUAAACUCCUCAAGACCGGCAAAAGUAAAACCUAUAUUAUACCUUUGCCUUCAUCUGAUCCACAACCAAUGCGUAUGACUCUUCAACAUUUCCUGUUCUAUGUGGUCCAACCCUGCAUUCUUAUUUCUCCAAGAAUCGUUAGUCCACAAGUAGUUGUCAUUAAUUACCAAAACAUUACCAAAGGGGACUAGAUGAUUCACACUCAUACAUUCUGAUCUUUGUGAGAUGAAUGGUGUGUUGACAAAAGGUGGUAAGAGAUACUUCAUGACAUUGAUUGAUGAUGCGUCUAGAUUUUGCUAUGUAUACUUGCUAAAAACUAAAGAUGAGGCUUUAGACUACUUUAAAAUCUAUAAGGCUAAAGUUGAAAACCAACUAGAGAGAAAGAUCAAACGUCUUAGAUCAGAUCGUGGUGGCGAGUUCUUUCCCAAAGUCUUUGAUGAUUUCUGUGCAGAACAUGGCAUUAUUCAUGAGAGGACUCCUCCCUAUUCACCCGAGUCAAACGAGAUUGCUGAAAGGAAAAACCGUACGUUGACUGACCUGGUGAAUGCCAUGUUAGACACUUGUGGUUUAUCUAAGGCAUGGUGGGGGGAGGCAGUCCUGACUUCAUGUCAUGUUCUGAAUAGAAUUCCUAUGGGCAAAGAAGAGAAAACCCCUUAUGAGAAGUGGGUUGGGAGAAAACCAUCACUUUCAUACUUGCGCACUUGGGGUGCAUGGCGAAAGUCAAUGUACCAAUUAAUAAAAAGCGCAAGCUUGGUCCAAGGACAGUGGAUUGUGUCUUUCUUGGAUAUGCUUCGUGUAGCAUAGCAUAUAGAUUUUUAGUAGUUAAAUCUGAAGUUCCUGAUGUGUAUGUUGAUACUAUUAUGGAAUCACGUGAUGCUACUUUCUUUGAGCAUAUAUUUCCAAUGAAAGACAUUCAUAGCAAUUCUAGAUACUCUUCUGAGAUAAUUCCUGAACAUAAUACACCUAUUGAGAGUUUUGAACAGCCACAUGAAAUUGUCCUAGAGGAGGAUGACAAUGAUGCUCCUAAAAGGAGCAAGAGACAAAGGGUUGAAAAAUCCUUUGGUAAUGAUUUCAUUGUGUACCUUGUGGACGAUACUCCUACCACCAUUGCAGAAGCAUUUGCAUCUCCAGAUGCAGAUGAUUGGAAAGAAGCAGUUCAUAAUGAGAUGGACUCCAUUCUUUCAAAUGGUACGUGGGAAGUCACUGAUCGACCCUAUGGAUGCAAACCUGUGGGUUGUAAGUGGGUGUUUAAAAAGAAGCUCAAGCCUGAUGGUACAAUUGAAAAGUACAAGGCUAGGCUUGUGGCUAAAGGCUAUACUCAGAAAAAGGAGAAGACUUCCUUGAUACUUACUCACCUGUUGCUAGAAUGACCACUAUUCGAGUACUACUUUCUUUGGCUGCCUCGUAUGGUCUCCUUGUUCAUCAGAUGGAUGUAAAGACAGCUUUUCUUAAUGGAGAGCUGGACGAGGAAAUCUAUAUGGAACAGCCUGAUGGAUUUGUAGUAAAGGGUCAAGAAAGCAAGGUGUGCAAGUUAUUGAAAUCUUUGUAUGGUCUGAAGCAAGCACCAAAGCAGUGGCAUGAGAAGUUUGACACGACUCUAACGUCUGCAGGCUUUGCCAUUAAUGAGGCAGACAGGUGUGUAUAUUAUCGCUGUGGUGGGGGCGAAGGAGUUAUAUUAUGCUUAUAUGUUGAUGAUAUAUUGAUAUUUGGCACAAACAUUGAUGUGAUCAAUGAAGUCAAGUCUUUUCUAUCAAAGAGUUUUGAUAUGAAAGAUCUGGGAGAAGCUGAUGUGAUUCUAAACAUCAAGCUGAUUAAGGCAGAUGGUGGGAUUACUCUCUCGCAAUCUCACUAUGUUGAAAAGGUUUUGAAGCGAUUUGGCUUCUCUGAGUGCAAACCUUCUCCAACACCUUAUGAUCCCAGUGUGACACUGCGAAAGAACAAGAGAAUUGGUUUAGACCAAUUGAGAUACUCUCAGAUUGUCGGUUCACUCAUGUAUCUUGCUGGUGCAACAAGGCCCGAUAUCUCGUUUGCUGUGAGCAAAUUGAGUAGGUUCAUGUCAAAUCCCGGGACUGAUCAUUGGCAUGCACUUGAGCGGGUUAUGCGCUACCUGCAAGGUACAAUGAGUUAUGGAAUUCACUAUUCUGGUCAGCAUGCAGUACUUGAAGGAUAUAGUGAUUCGAACUGGAUAUCUGAUGCAGACGAGCUUUAUGCCACCAGUGGUUAUGUCUUUACUAUUGGUGGAGGUGCGGUAUCAUGGAGGUCAUGCAAGCAGACCAUUUUGACGAGGUCAACCAUGGAAGCCGAGCUAGCUGCACUUUACACAGCAACCGUUGAGGCAGAAUGGUUGCGUGAACUCUUGAUGGACUUGCCGGUGGUUGAGAAACCAAUACCAGCUAUCCUUAUGAACUGUGACAAUCAGACAGUGAUUGCUAAAGUGACGAGUUCUAAGGAUAAUGGAAAGUCAUCAAGACAUGUCAAAAGACGAUUGAAGUCUGUCAGAAAGUUGAGAAACUCCGGAGUUAUAAGUGUGACUUAUAUUUCAACAGAUAAAAAUCUGGCAGAUCCUUUUACCAAGGGACUACCACGUAAUGUGAUAGAAAUCGCAUCGAGAGAGAUGGGUAUGAGACCCGAAUAAAGUUGCCAUGGUGGAAACCCAGUCUAUGUGAUCGGAGAUCCCGUGAAUUAGGUCCUGGGAAGAACAAGCCAUUGGUGAACAGAGGAGAGUAACCUUUGACCCUCUCUAAGUAAAGAUGCAAUACUCUCAAAUGCUGUAAGGCAGGUUGGCUUUGUGCCUUAAUGUGUUCUGUUGGCUUGUAUUAGCGAAGAUGUUGUCCUGCAGAACAUUCUUUGAAAGAACACACCUAUAUGAGUUAGACUGUCUAACGUCGCAGUCUAUGAGAUUUAGGUGAUCUCUAGUAAACUCAUGAAGAGACCUUGGAGUACGACGUAUAUGCUCCACCCGAGAAGGGGACUACUGGUAGCCAAGUACUGGUCAUGACUUCAAGUGAAACCCAUCCACGCAAAACUUGCAAUUCAAGGCAUAGUCCAUUGUCCAAGUUGUGGGUUGGUGUAACUUGGAGUUCUAGGCGGAAGUUCAACUUAACAGUCUCUGCUGAAAAACUGGUAUAUUAAACAGUAGUGAACAGUGGCGAAAACUGCAGAUGGGCAUUUGAGAUCUGGUGGGGGAUUGUUAGUAUUUAUGGGCUUGGCCCAAUUAAGAAUUUCUAAUAAAUCCCAGGAAAAUCUCAAAAGCCCAUAUAAGUGGAUGGCAAAGGGAUAGGUGGAACCAAUAGCACCAUAUUGCUAGCUCUUGUGGAGUAGAACUAACUUAAAUAUGGAAGCCACACUCACUCACCAAGUCAUGGAUGAGAGGAGAGAGUGUGGAGAGCCACACGCGCGCGCUCGCUCGCCUGGCCUGGCCGGGCCGGGCCGGGCCGGGCCGGGGCGGGGCGGGGCGAAGGGCGCGGGCGCACGACAUGCGCGUGAAUGGUCCGCCGAAAUCCGGCCCCUCGCCUUGCGGGGGCGCGGCUACCUUUUGCCGUUUGAUUUUUUGGUUUCUUGGCUGUUACGCUUAUCCUAACCGAUCGCUAUAAAAUCUCAACUGAUUGCGAGAUUUUCGUGGGCGGAUAAGCACAGGGGGUCGCGGACUUGGCCCUAUAAAAGGAGCUCGGCAGCCAGCCUCCAAAUGAUCCCAGAUCCCAGUUCGCCUUCGCCUCUCUUCAUAGCUGAGCCGCCUUUUAGUUCCCUUCGUCCCGACCGCAGAGGUGCAUCUACGAUCAGGAGAGCAGGUCUCCGGAACCCUUCGUCUUCUAGAUCCUGCACCGGGAGAGGGCGAAUAAGGUUUUUGGGAAGCGUCUUCACGCGACUGCUCGUGAUCUUCUGACAUCGUCGACCCAGCUGAUCCUGGCGCGCGCCAACAAUCAGUAAGUCUAAUCAGUACGCAUCAUCUGAUUUGGCUUUUAUUUCAGUUCUUCUGAUUUGGUCAUGAUUUAUAUUCGGAAUUUAAACUGGAAUUUGUCUAAUUGUUCAACAAUGUCCAGCGAGUGCAACUGUGCAAGCAACUAACACGUACAGUACUACGUACGUACGCUUCGUUCAAUACUUGUGAGACAGAUCGGACAGCUCAGCCCGUGAUGAACGAACGUUCCCGACGGAGGGAAACUUGCUGGCCUGUGGCAUAUCCAUAUACAUGUUGUCAUGCAUAUGUAUAUUGCUAACUUGCCAGGUCCAGACUCUAUAGUCCAAAGUCUACGGAGAUGUCCAAAUCAAUGUAUCAUUGGACAUCAUUAUUCAAAGAUCUUGUGCCUACAAACAUUAGGGUUAUAACUUAUAGCCACGGACAGACAAGACCACUCUUACCAUAAGGGGCCGUUUAGAUCCCUUAAGGAAUUAAAAUUUAAUUAAUAGAGUAUGUUAUUUGGUUUGGAAUUUGACGUUUCACUACUUUCUAAAGUUCAGCUAUAAGUCUAUCUCAAAUUUAUAAGAGGGAGAAUGAAAAUUGAUUUUAUUUAUCACUAGUCUAUAUUUCUACUCUGUAACUUAUAGACCCUCUUCAACUCGCUCCCCUAUAAUAGAAAUUCAACAUAUAAAUAUGCCCUGUAUGGCCAACAAUAGUAUACAAAAAUAAUCUAUAUAAAACCAUACUAGCUUAAUUGAUCUAUGCCUAAAUUUUUUUUAUUAUUAUUAGAAUGAAAUUCAAUCAAUGAUCCAAACGAGACCUAAAGGAAAAUUAUAUAUUGCACACCGAUAAAGAGUGAUUUUAACUCUUGGACACUAGAAAUGGUAGUAUUUACCAGGAACACAGCGCCACACCUCAAUGAUACAAAUUCUAUUUUAGGAAAAAUCUUAUUGCCGGGCAAAAGAUCCUCGGGCCCCUGAGACCCAUCGGUCAGAUAGAGCAUGGGAGAAAGACCUCCAGACUACUGGGGACCACCGGUCAGCAGGAGGAUGAGGGAAUCGUCUACCUUGUAAGUGCCCGCCCCGGAUAAACCCCGAGGCACCGAGCCCGGGGUCGGGCGAUGCGGAGCUAGAGAGGAGUGCACUCAAGGGGAGACUGACCCACCAUAAAUGGUCGACCGUAUUAACUACGUCCGGCAUCGAGCCAUAGUAAAGAACCGAUCCGCCUCCCACUGAUGACUUGUGAGCCCCUCGGCCUACUGAAAGGAAAAUGUGCCCUUGGGCCAUUUCUAAGUAUUUUGGUGAUUUAGUGUCCAACACAAGUGCCUAAGUGUAAAAAAGGUGGACAAAGUACAAAUCAAGGAUAAAGGUAUGUUUCUCAGACUCAGUACAUUGUUUUAUGGACUAAUGUAUUGUGUCUAAGUGCUGGAAAUAGGAAAAAUCCAAUUGAAAAUAUCUUGGCUCGAGCAGCCAAGACUCUGCUAAGUCUGGGAGCACCGGACUGUCCGGUGGUGCACCGGACGGUGUCCGGUGCGCCAGGCUAGCUCGAGCGAAGUGGCAGCUCUCGGGAAUUCACCGGCGACGUACGACUAUAAUUCACCGGACUGUCCGGUGUGCACCGGACUGUCCGGUGAGCCAAUGGUCGGUCGGGCCAACGUUCGGCCGCGCAAUCUGCGCGGGACACGUGGCCGAGCCAACGGCUAGAAGGGGCACCAGACUGUCCGGUGUGCACCGGACAUGUCCGGUGCGCCAACGGCUCUCAGGCUGCCAACGGUCAACUACGCCAUUUUUGGAAAGAAAUUGGGCACCGGACAGUGUCCGGUGUGCACCGGACUAUCCGGUGCGCCACUCGAUAGAAGGCAAGAUCAGCCUUCCUAGAUUGCUCUCAAUGGCUCCUAGCUGCCUUGGGGCUAUAAAAGGGACCCCUAGGCGCAUGGAGGAGCACACCAAGCAUUCCUACAACAUUCCUAAGCACCAAGACAUCGAUUCCGCGCCUUUGAUUCUUUGCGAUAGCAAUUAGAGCUCUAGUUGAGUGGUGAACUCAUUGAGUUGUGUUGUGAGCUCUCUUUGCGACUUGUGUGCGUGGUGUUGCUGUGAUUUCUUGUCUUGAGUGCGUUGCUAAUCCCUACCUUGCUCCGUGCUUCUUUGUGAAUCUUAAGUGUAAGGGCGAGAGGCUCCAAGUUGUGGAGAUUCCUCGCAAACGGGAUUGAGUAAAGCAAGCAAAACAUCGUGGUAUUCAAGUGGGUCUUUGUACCGCUUGAGAGGGGUUGAUUGCAACCCUCGUCCGUUGGGACGCCACAACGUGGAGUAGGCAAGCGUUGGUCUUGGCGGAACCACGGGAUAACCACCGUGCCAUCUCUGUGAUUGAUCUCUUGUUGGUUAUUGUGUUUUGUUGAAGACUUCUCUCUAGCCACUUGGCGGUUAUUGUGCUAACACUUAACCAAGUUUUUGUGGCCUAAGUUUUAAUUGUUACAGGAUCACCUAUUCACCCCCCCUCUAGGUGCUCUCAAUUGGUAUCGGAGUCGUUCUCUUCACAAAGGGACUAAUCGCCCGAAGAGAUGGAUCCUAAGAGGAAGGGUAUCGUGAUCAACGAUAAAGAGAAGGAAUCUUUCGUCAACGAGCCGAAGGAUGACAAGCCUACCAACUCGGGCUCGGGCCAUAGACGGAAAGAUGAGAAGAAGAAGAAGACGAGGCGCAUCAAGGAGAUCGUCUACUACGACGACAGCGAUGAGUCUACUUCUUCCAAAAAGGACGACGACCACAACGACUACGAGAGAAGAAAACCGGUCAAUUCGAACUUUUCUUUUGAUUACUCUCGUAUUCCUCAAAGUACAAAUGCUCAUUUAUUAUCUAUUCCACUUGGUAAACCUCCUCAUUUUGAUGGAGAAGACUACGGAUUUUGGAGUCACAAAAUGCGUAGUCACUUGUUCUCUCUCCAUCCUAGUAUAUGGGAGAUUGUAGAGAGUGGAAUGCACUUUGAUAGUACGGAUAGUCCCAUGUUCAUUAAUGAGAAAAUUCAUAAGAAUGCACAAGCUACUACUGUUCUUCUAGCUUCAUUGUGCAGGGAUGAAUACCACAAAGUGAGCGGCUUGGAUAAUGCCAAGCAGAUCUGGGACACCCUCAAGAUUUCACAUGAGGGGAACGAUGUCACCUUACUCACCAAGAUGGAGUUGGUGGAGGGCGAGCUUGGACGAUUCGCGAUGAUAAGGGGCGAGGAGCCGACACAAACAUACAACCGGCUCAAGACCCUUAUCAACAAAAUAAGGAGCUACGGAAGCACGCGAUGGACGGACCACGACGUCGUCCGAUUGAUGCUAAGGUCCUUUACCAUUCUUGAUCCUCAUUUGGUGAAUAAUAUUCGUGAGAAUCCAAGGUACACCAAAAUGUCGCCCGAAGAAGUCCUUGGAAAAUUCGUAAGCGGGCGAAUGAUGAUCAAGGAGGCGAGGUACGUGGACGACGCAUUGAAUGGUCCAAUCAACGAGCCUCAACCCCUUGCUCUCAAGGCAACAAGGAGCAAGGAGGCGCUACCUAGCAAGGUGGCACAAAUUGAGGCGGCCAGACUUAAUGAUGAAGAAAUGGCCCUCAUCAUCAAGAGAUUCAAGACGGCGCUUAAGGGUCGCAAGGGACAACCAAGCAAGACCAAAGCCAAAGGGAAGCGCUCAUGCUUCAAAUGCGGUAAGAUUGGUCAUUUUAUUGCUAACUGUCCCGAUAAUGAAAGUGACCAGGAACACGGGAGCAAGAGGGAAAAGAAGAAAAAUUACAAGAAGGCCAAGGGCGAGGCACAUCUAGGAAAGGAGUGGGACUCGGAUUGCUCCUCCUCCGACUCUGACAAUGAAGGACUUGCCGCCACCGCCUUCAACAAGUCAUCCCUCUUCCCCAACGAGCGUCACACAUGCCUUAUGGCAAGAGAGAAGAAGGUAUGUACUCGAAACUCUACUUAUUCUUCUUCAAGUGAGGACGAAUCUAAUGAUGAGGAUGAAAUAGAUUAUUCAUGUUUAUUUAAGGGCCUAGAUAGAACCAAGGUAGAUAAAAUUAAUGAAUUGAUUGAUGCCUUGAAUGAUAAGAAUAGGCUUUUAGAAAAACAAGAGGACUUGUUGUAUGAAGAACAUGACAAAUUUGUAGAAGCACAAAAAUCUCAUGCCUUAGAAGUUAAGAGAAAUGAAAUGCUCUCUUGUGAAUUAUCUUCUUGCCAUGAGACAAUUUCUAGCUUAAGAAGCAUUAAUGAUGACUUGAAUGCUAAGUUGGAAAUAGCUAGUAAAUCAACAACUUGUGUAGAAAAUGUUGUUAUUUGCAAUAGAUGUAAAGAUUUUGAUAUUGAUGCUUGUUGUGAACACAUAGCUUCUAUUGCAAAGUUAAAUGAUGAAAUGGCUAGUCUUAAUGCCCAACUUAAGGCUAGCAAAAGUGACUUUGAUAAACUAAAAUUUGCUAGGGAUGCCUACACGAUUGGUAGACACCCCUCAAUUAAGGAUGGGCUUGGCUUCAAGAGGGAAGCCAAGAACUUAACAAGCCAUAAGGCUCCCAUCUCCGCCAAGGAGAAAGGGAAGGCCCCUAUGGCAGGUAGUACUAAAAAGAACCAUGCUUUUAUGUACAAUGAUAGAAGACGGUCUCAUAGGAGUUGUAAUGCUUUUGAUUCACAUGCCUAUGAUUCUUAUUCUAUGUUUGCUUCCAGUUCUUCCUAUAUGCAUGGUAGAGAUACGCCUAGGAAAAACAUUCAUCAUGUGCCUAGAAAGAAUAUUGUUCAUGUUCCUAGGAAAGUUAUGAAUGGACCCUCUACAAUUUAUCAUGCUUUAAAUGCUUCCUUUGCUAUUUGUAGAAAGGAUAGGAAGAUAGUUGCUAGGAAAUUAGGGGCAAAAUGCAAGGGUGAUAAAACUUGCAUUUGGGUCUCUAAGACAAUUUUGACUAACCUUGUAGGACCCAACAAGAGUUGGGUACCUAAGACCCAAGCCUAAAUUUGUCUUGCAGGUUUAUGCAUCCGGGGGUUCAAGCUGGAUUAUCGACAGCGGAUGCAUAAACCAUAUGACGGGGGAGAAGAAGAUGUUCACCUCCUACGUCAAGAAUAAGGAUUCCCAAGAUUCAAUCAUAUUCGGUGAUGGGAACCAAGGCAAGGUGAAAGGUUUAGGCAAGAUUGCUAUAUCAAAUGAGCACUCUAUCUCUAAUGUGUUUUUAGUUGAGUCUCUUGGAUAUAAUUUACUAUCUGUUAGUCAAUUAUGUAAUAUGGGAUAUAAUUCUCUAUUUACAAAUAUAGAUGUGUCUGUCUUUAGAAGAUGUGAUGGUUCACUAGCUUUUAAGGGUGUACUAGACGGCAAACUUUAUUUGGUUGAUUUUGCAAAAGAAGAGGCCGGUCUAGAUGCAUGCUUAAUGGCUAAGACUUGCAUGGGCUGGUUGUGGCAUCGCCGCUUAGCACAUGUGGGGAUGAAGAACCUCCACAAGCUUCUAAAGGGAGAACACGUGAUAGGUCUAACCAAUGUACAUUUCGAAAAAGAUAGACCUUGUGCAGCUUGUCAAGCAGGGAAACAGGUGGGAGGCUCUCAUCACACCAAAAAUGUGAUGACGACAUCAAGACCCUUGGAGAUGCUUCAUAUGGACCUCUUCGGACCCGUCGCCUAUCUGAGUAUAGGAGGAAGUAAGUAUGGUCUUGUUAUAGUUGAUGAUUUUUCCCGCUUCACUUGGGUAUUCUUUUUGCAGGAUAAAACUGAAACCCAAGGGACCCUCAAGCGCUUCCUCAGGAGAGCUCAAAAUGAGUUUGAGCUCAAGGUGAAGACGAUAAGGAGCGACAACGGGUCCGAGUUCAAGAACCUUCAAGUGGAGGAGUUCCUUGAGGAGGAGGGGAUCAAGCACGAGUUCUCCGCUCCCUACACACCUCAGCAAAAUGGUGUGGUAGAGAGGAAGAACAGGACGCUCAUUGAUAUGGCGAGGACUAUGCUUGGAGAGUUCAAGACCCCCGAGCGCUUUUGGUCGGAAGCUGUGAACACGGCUUGCCACGCCAUCAACAGGGUCUACCUUCACCGCCUCCUCAAGAAGACUUCAUAUGAGCUGCUGACUGGUAACAAACCCAAUGUGUCUUAUUUUCGUGUAUUUGGGAGCAAGUGUUAUAUUCUUGUGAAGAAAGGUAGAACCUCUAAAUUUGCUCCCAAAGCUGUAGAAGGGUUUUUAUUAGGUUAUGAUUCAAAUACAAAGGCGUAUAGGGUCUUCAACAAAUCAUCGGGUUUGGUUGAAGUCUCUAGCGACGUUGUAUUUGAUGAGACUAAUGGCUCUCCAAGAGAGCAAGUUGUUGAUCUUGAUGAUGUAGAUGAAGAAGACGUUCCAACGGCCGCGAUUCGCACCAUGGCGAUUGGAGAUGUACGGCCUCAGGAUCAAUUGGAGCAAGAUCAACCGUCUUCCUCAACUAUGGUGCAUCCCCCAACCUAAGAUGACGAACAGGUACCUCAAGUGGAGGCGCAUGAUCAAGGGGGAGCACAGGAUGUUCAAGUUGAAGAGGAAGAAGUACCUCAGGCACCUCCAACCCAAGUUCGAGCGACGAUCCAAAGGGAUCAUCCCGUCGACCAAAUUUUGGGUGAUAUUAGCAAGGGAGUAACUACUCGUUCGAGAUUAGUUAAUUUUUGUGAGCAUUACUCUUUUGUCUCUUCUAUUGAGCCUUUCAGGGUAGAAGAGGCCUUGCUAGACCCGGACUGGGUGUUGGCCAUGCAGGAGGAACUCAACAACUUCAAGCGCAAUGAAGUUUGGACACUGGUGCCUCGUCCCAAGCAAAAUGUUGUGGGAACCAAGUGGGUGUUCCGCAACAAACAGGACGAGCACGGGGUGGUGACGAGGAACAAGGCUCGACUUGUGGCAAAAGGUUAUGCCCAGGUCGCAGGUUUGGACUUUGAGGAGACGUUUGCUCCUGUGGCUAGGCUAGAGUCAAUUCGUAUUUUGCUAGCAUAUGCCGCUCACCAUUCUUUCAGGUUGUACCAAAUGGAUGUAAAGAGCGCUUUCCUCAACGGGCCAAUCAAGGAGGAGGUGUACGUGGAGCAACCCCCUGGCUUCGAGGAUGAACGGUACCCCGACUAUGUGUGUAAGCUCUCUAAGGCGCUCUAUGGACUUAAGCAAGUCCCAAGAGCAUGGUAUGAAUGCCUUAGAGACUUUUUAAUUGCUAAUGCUUUCAAGGUUGGGAAAGCCGAUCCAACUCUUUUUACUAAGACUUGCGAUGGUGAUCUCUUUGUGUGCCAAAUUUAUGUCGAUGACAUAAUAUUUGGUUCUACUAAUCAAAAGUCUUGUGAAGAGUUUAGCAGGGUGAUGACACAGAAAUUCGAAAUGUCGAUGAUGGGCGAGUUGAACUACUUCCUUGGGUUCCAAGUGAAGCAACUCAAGGACGGCACUUUCAUCUCCCAAACGAAGUACACGCAAGACUUGCUAAAGCGGUUUGGGAUGAAGGACGCCAAGCCCGCAAAGACUCCGAUGGGAACCGACGGACACACCGACCUCAACAAAGGAGGUAAGUCCGUUGAUCAAAAAGCAUACCGGUCUAUGAUAGGGUCUUUACUUUAUUUGUGCGCUAGUAGACCGGAUAUUAUGCUAAGCGUAUGCAUGUGUGCUAGAUUUCAAUCUGAUCCUAAGGAGUGUCACUUAGUAGCAGUGAAGCGAAUUCUUAGAUAUUUGGUUGCUACGCCUUGCUUCGGGAUCUGGUAUCCAAAGGGGUCUAACUUUGACUUGAUUGGAUAUUCAGAUUCUGACUAUGCUGGAUGUAAGGUCGAUAGGAAGAGCACAUCGGGGACGUGCCAAUUCUUAGGAAGGUCCCUGGUGUCAUGGAAUUCUAAGAAACAAACUUCCGUUGCCCUAUCCACCGCUGAGGCCGAGUAUGUUGCCGCAGGACAGUGUUGCGCGCAACUACUUUGGAUGAGGCAAACCCUCCGGGACUUUGGCUACAAUCUGAGCAAAGUCCCACUCCUAUGUGACAAUGAGAGUGCUAUCCGCAUAGCGGAAAAUCCUGUUGAGCACAGCCGCACAAAGCACAUUGACAUCCGGCAUCACUUUUUGAGAGACCACCAGCAAAAGGGAGAUAUCGAAGUGUUUCAUGUUAGCUCCGAGAACCAGCUAGCCGAUAUCUUCACUAAGCCUUUAGAUGAAAAGACCUUUUGCAGGCUGCGUAGUGAGCUCAAUAUCCUAGAUUCGCGGAACUUGGAUUGAUUUAUAGCAUACAUGUAUUUAUGCCUUUGAUCAUGUUUCUUAUGCAUUUUGUUGCUUACUAUGGUGCUCAAGUUGUAAAAUCAAUCUCCGGACCUCACAAGUCCUUGUGCAAGUGAUGCACAUAUUUAGGGGGAGUUGUGCUACAACUUGACCCUUUGAGACUAACUGUUUGCUUGAGUUUGCUUGAUUUAGUCUCAAAGGAGGUUUGAAAGGGAAAAGGUGGACUUGGACCAUGAAAGACUUCCACUGCACUCCGAUGAGAGGGUAACUUAUUCCAAGUUCAUCUCAUGUACUCUUAUUGCCUUUGUGUUCUUAUUUGAAGAUUUUGGUGAGGCAAUGGGGUUUACGGGCCAAAAUUGAUCCCGUUUUGGUGCUUGAUGCCAAAGGGGGAGAAAAUAAAGGCCAAAGCAAUAGAUGGAUCAGCUACCACUUGAGAAAUUUUGAAAAUAGUAGAUUAGAGCUUUUGGUGUGUCAAAACUCUUUUAUUGUCUCUUAUGUCAAAAGUUGGCCUCUUGUGGGGAGAAGUGUUGAUUAUGGGAAAAAGGGGGAGUUUUUGAAAUCCUUGAUCAAAUUUCUUUGGAAUACCUCUCUUUAUGUCUCUACAAGUGGAUUUGACUUAGAGAUAGGAAUUUGAGUUUGAUUUGCAAAAACAAACCAAGUGGUGGCAAAGUAUGAUCCAUAUAUGCCAAAUUUGAUUCAAAACAACUUUGAGUUUUCAUUUGCAUUAAUUUUGUACUUGUUCUACUUGCUUUAUGUUGUGUUGGCAUAAAUCACCAAAAAGGGGGAGAUUGAAAGGGAAAUGUGCCCUUGGGCCAUUUCUAAGUAUUUUGGUGAUUUAGUGUCCAACACAAGUGCCUAAGUGUAAAAAGGUGGACAAAGUACAAAUCAAGGAUAAAAGUAUGUUUCUCAGACUCAGUACAUUGUUUUAUGGACUAAUGUAUUGUGUCUAAGUGCUGGAAAUAGGAAAAAUCCAAUUGAAAAUAUCUUGGCUCGAGCAGCCAAGACUCUGCUAAGUCUGGGAGCACCGGACUGUCCGGUGGUGCACCGGACAGUGUCCGGUGCGCCAGGCUGGCUCGAGCGAAGUGGCCGCUCUCGGGAAUUCACCGGCGACGUACGGCUAUAAUUCACCGGACUGUCCGGUGUGCACCGGACUGUCCGGUGAGCCAACGGUCGGCCGGGCCAACGGUCGGCCGCGCAAUCUGCGCGGGACACGUGGCCGAGCCAACGGCUAGAAGGGGGCACCGGACUGUCCGGUGUGCACCGGACAUGUCCGGUGCGCCAACGGCUCUCAGGCUGCCAACGGUCGACUGCGCCAUUUUUGGAAAGAAAUCGGGCACCGGACAGUGUCCGGUGUGCACCGGACUGUCCGGUGUGCACCGGACUGUCCGGUGCGCCACUCGACAGAAGGCAAGAUCAGCCUUCCUAGAUUGCUCUCAACAGCUCCUAGCUGCCUUGGGGCUAUAAAAGGGACCCCUAGGCGCAUGGAGGAGCACACCAAGCAUUCCUACAACAUUCCUAAGCACCAAGACAUCGAUUUCGCGCCUUUGAUUCUUUGCGAUAGCAAUUAGAGCUCUAGUUGAGUGGUGAACUCAUUGAGUUGUGUUGUGAGCUCUCUUUGCGACUUGUGUGCGUGGUGUUGCUAUGAUUUCUUGUCUUGAGUGCGUUGCUAAUCCCUCCCUUGCUCCGUGCUUCUUUGUGAAUCUUAAGUGUAAGGGCGAGAGGCUCCAAGUUGUGGAGAUUCCUCGCAAACGGGAUUGAGUAAAGCAAGCAAAACACCGUGGUAUUCAAGUGGGUCUUUGGACCGCUUGAGAGGGGUUGAUUGCAACCCUCGUCCGUUGGGACGCCACAACGUGGAGUAGACAAGCGUUGGUCUUGGCCGAACCACGGGAUAACCACCGUGCCAUCUCUGUGAUUGAUCUCUUGUUGGUUAUUGUGUUUUGUUGAAGACUUCUCUCUAGCCACUUGGCGGUUAUUGCGCUAACACUUAACCAAGUUUUUGUGGCCUAAGUUUUAAUUGUUACAGGAUCAUCUAUUCACCCCCCCUCUAGGUGCUCUCACCUACGACGCACUCAUGACAUACAAGUCCAUCGGACCGCGGUGCACUCAUGACCUAAUGAGACUAGGCUUGAGUGCGCAGGCCAUCUACAGGGCCCGCAAUACGACGAGCAACGCCAAGAUCCAGGCUACGGAGGCCAAGGGUCGAUGUGGUGUAGAGGCAGUAAUGAUGGCGCCAAUGCUCCACACCGCCACACCGUUCGUCAUAAUGUAGCACGAGUAGAGACGGUUGGGUGACCAAGACGCCUACGGACAACAUGACUUCACCGGGGUAAAACACUCGGUUUUAACACAACAUAGUAGCUCCUUCUCGAGGAAGCUACUGGCGGCCGCCCCACCUUGCCAAUAUAAGGAGGUCGAUCACGAGACAGAAGAAGGAACACCAGAAGAGGAAAGACUAACAGAGGAAACACACGCUCGAUGAGACCAGAAGACCCGGAGGCUGGAGCUAAGGCUUAGUUUAGGACUCUAGUCCCGUUGUCUUUAGGUCCACCCACACAUAAGAGACUUGGGAGCUCUUCUUUCCUCUCUCCCACGCUUCUAACCCCUACUACGAGCAUUGAGCAACAAAGGUGCCAGUAGCGCGAGCCAUCGAAGACUGGAUGUAGGGACGUUCUGCCCAAACCAGUAUAAACCUUGUGCCCAACGAGCACCCCAUCCGGAACCCAGAACACCCACAUGCAAAUUUACUUGUCAGAGAGGAGGUUCGAAACACCGAUAGUUUGUAAAUGUGAGAAAUGAACAAAAAAUAAGGUUUUUUGUCCCUGUUGAAAACUGUUAUGUCCGACGGCCUUUAAUAGCCGUCAGACAUUAAACAGGUGACACCCGACGGCCUCCAUGCAAACUGUUGCACGGAGGACGUCAGAACUAAAGGAGUGGGGCCCACUAGCAACCAUUAUGGCUGUUAACAGUUACAAUUGCCGAGGGCCCUUUCCGACCAUAGUACAUAAGCCUAUUUCCGACCUAUUAAGGCCGAGAGCCAAAAUCGUCAGAUAUAAACCGAAAGUCGUCGGAAAUAAGCUAUUUUCGAUGGUAUAGGCCUUAUUUCUGUUAGUUUUAGCCCUCAGAAUUUUUCUGUUUUGCCGUUGUGAUGUGAUGGAAUUGGACUAACUAGAUCUAGAGGCUGGACCUAAUUAGUUGAUCAAUUGUUUUCGUGAACUAUACGACAAGAAGAAGACAUGGUACUUACUAAAGCAAAUACAUAUGUAAGCAAUUCCGCAGAAGCAAAGAAAACAUGCUAGCUAGCGAGCACAGUCGUGCAUGUAAAACGUAAAAUGAAGCAUUAUUUGACCUAAUUGUACAUAUAGGCAUUUGCAAAAAUAAGAUGGGGGCCUUGAUUUGUGUGGUGGUUGCAGCUCUUACGUGGGCAAUGUAUAUGGCGACCGUAAUGAGUUUGUUUUGUUUUUAACAAAACACGCAAUCUGCACUUUUUUAGACAUUAUUAUUGUUCCUGCACAGCAGGAGAACAUGAGAGAGAAGUGCAGGAGCAAUAAUAGACUUUCCUCUCUAAUUUAUUUCUUCCGUUUGUAUACUUGGUUCCAUCAUACUACUUGUGUUGAACCGUUGAGCUGAAAAUGUUGAAAGAAACGGCCCCGUGCUCGUGCGUGUCCUGAAAACAGGUAGGAACGACGGCCCGUGAAACCGUGGAUUCUGCCUCAGAACAUGUAGACAGACAACACAGUAGCUAGGAUGAUCAGGUUUGAUUUGGACGGCAAGGGCUCUAGUAGGACGGUUGGAGUAGGCGGCUACAUCGGUCGUGGGCCGGCCGGCCGGCGAUGAUGAAUGACAGAUUGUGCUCCGUGUUUCCGGCCGACCUCUGACCUGACCGGACCCCAACAACAGCAAGGAUUAAUUCUUUUGGUUGGAACUGGAACACUUCUUGGGUGGGACAUGUGAGUCUUGGAACGGUAGAACGUGUGAGCAAAGUAAAAAGAGCCAGAAGAAUAGUGAAAUGAGUUUUCAUGUCUUUUUAUUGAUCAUCGCUAUAUAUAUAUAUAUAUAUAUAUAUAUAUAUAUAUAUAUAUAUAUAUAUAUAUAUAUAUAUAUAUAUAUAUAUAUAUAUCUGAACCUCCUUGGAUGGAUUUAUUUAUCCUCGACCCUCCUCCUUUUCGUUAUAACUUGCGAUAUUAGAUACGUACAAGGGAGAACAAUUUCUAUGUACAAUAAUCAUACACUGACGAAAUAUUUUCUUUAAAACAAGGAAACCGGAAUGACGCUCUUCCAGCUAAGCCCAGCUCAAAAAAGAGCUUAGACUUGCUGUAAUCCUUGUUUGGGCCAUAUCUCUGGCCCGUUCAUUUGGUGCACGUGGCCCUCGAUUUAAACUGGAUCCUGGGUCACGGCCCAUCUAAAUUAAUAACCAUCCCUCUUAUUAGGCUAUUCCCAGUGGUGAUUUUAAUUGAGUUUCAUCUUUAUUUAAUCUUUCACCACAUCAGCAAAGGAUUUAAUAGGGAGAGAGACAAAGUGAGUUUUAUUUCGACGAAACUCACGAUGCACAAUUUUAUAGACAAAAAUUUAUGUGACGUUCUUGAAAAUAGUGUAACGAAACUCUGCGUAGUGAAUAAUCUUAUCAAUUCAAGAGUUUCUUUGAAUCUUAUUUUAAACUUUUGUUUGUUUGAAAUCACAUCUUCUUUAAUACCCCAAUAAAACCUUUAAUACCCCAAUAAAACCUUGUUCGAUUAUUUCCGUAUCAUUUGAAUCAUGAGGAAUCAAUGCAAACCUUGUUCAUUUGGUGCACGUCGGCACGCACACGGGUAAACGUCCCUUUCUUUCUCUCCUAUCGUCUGGUACUCACUUGCAAUGUGCUUUCUUUGCUAUCUUGCUCGUGUGGUAGAUGGGAUUUCCUCCUCUAAGUGACCAUCGCACAGGAGACCAAGUUUUGGACGGACAAGAAGAGGUUCGAGACAGAUGCCAUAUUCUGAUCCUCCCUCAAUAUCCGCAAGGAUCUCGAUGCCCCAAUCCUCUCCAGGUCCUUUGCUUUCUCUUUGCAUUUCUUACAGGAAAAAUAAUCCUGCUUAUACAUCAAUUCGUUCCAACUAGACAUGUGCAUGGGUUGGUUAAAGCGGAUAUGGAUGGGUUCUGUGAGUUAGUUUGUUGGGGCUAAUUAAUUGGUUCUCGGUGCAAGUUCGGUGGGUUAGAUGAGUCAACAACGUGUUUGCUUCAUGGGGUGGAUUGAGUUGUAUUAGAUGGGUCACAUGGGUUGAGUUUACUUCAUCAUCUGGCCACCAUUGAUAAACAUACAUGCCACUAAGAUUUCUACAUGAACAUUUAUGUAAGUAAUUUUAAUUUUACUCCUUUUCAUGGCUGAAAUGAUUUCUGCCUGGACACUACAUGCUAUGCCAGGAUUGUUGUUUGCAUAGUCACACUUUGAUUUUAUUGUUUGUUUAUACAACAUGGCAGGAAAUCCAAUGAUUUGUGGUAAUUCUGGAGAUAACUACUCUUCUAUGUCACUUGACCCACUCUCUUACCCACAAGAUGAUCUGAAAAGUGAGAUCUCUUUCCAUUGUUCAAAUUUGAGAAACAGAAGAAAAUAACUGUCUUUUCUUCUAGGUGGCACUCACAUAUGUCUCCUUUUUCCUCAGCUCAGCCACAACAAGGCAUUGCAAAGAGCCAUCAUAUAGCUACAAUAUGUGGAGUAAUUUUUGGUUUAGUAGCUUUUUUGCUUAUGUAGUUGGUACACUUCUUUCGUGGCAUCAUAGCCAAAAUCAGCAUAUCUUUUUUGGUGUAAAUGGUAAUAUUCUUUUUACUCUGUUGUUGACUGAUCAUGAUAUCAACCACCUAGAUCUAGACGUGUUGCAUUAGUUACCUUAGUUGCAUGAGCCGCUAACAUUUUAAGAUCUUAGAGCUUUUUUGCUGAUGUAGUUAGUUAGUACACUUCUUUCGUUGCAUCAUAUAGGCAAAAUCAGUAUACAUUUUUUUGGUGUAAAUGGUAAUAUUCUUUUUAUCUGUUGUUGUGUGAUCAUGAUAACAACCACCUACAUCUUGACGUGUUGCAUUAGUUACCUUAGUUGCAUGAGCCGCUAACAUUUUAAGAUCUUAGAGCUUUUGCCUUCUGGUCAGUCCACAGUAAAAUUGAAUGAAUCGAAAAUUAAAACAUCAGAUCCUUCAGCACCGGCCUUCCAUUUUUCAACUAAUAGAAACUCCCAUUUUUCAACUAAUAGGAACUCUGAAUGUAUAUUGGCAUCCAUUCAUCCCCUUGCGGCCAUUUGAUCUAUCCUCUAUCUGUGGACCUUGCUGAUAGUUAUGUUGUCCAAAAAACCCCCAUGAUUUGGUGACCUUGCUGUGCAUACCCCAGACUUGUUUGCAUUGUUAGCUAGCCAUAGAAAUUCAAUAGGAGAUCGAGCACGGAGUAGCGACGAGAUAGCAAAAAUAACAACUUUACCUUUGUACAUCUAUAUGCUGUCAUGUGGGGCCGCACCUACAGCAGGCGCAGGCGCGCCCGUGACGUGCGCAAGGCAACCGAGAAUAAGAUUGAGAUGAGAGAAUUGUGGAGAGUUGGUUAGCAGCAGAUAAGUCCAAGAAAGUAGAAUUACUUGAGAGUUUAUAGGAGAAGUUGGUUAGCCCUAGGGCUAUUUACAAGCCGCAUGACAGCAGGGAAUAAAGCAAGCAAUUUGUUAUCUAUCCAAUCUCCUCUCUCCAGUUCUAGCAAGCCUGCGGCAGGGUGCUCACCUUGCUGGAGAAGACGAACCGAGACUACAAUCUCCGUAGUCGAGGGCCAGCUACCCUAGGGUCCGACGCCCUUGACAUAUGCCUGGCAGCAAAAGGCCAAGUAUUGUCAAUACAUAUGCACACACUAAGCAUAACCUUCCUCAGAGGACCAACCAUGGAAUAUAUUGUCAAUCCAACAACAUUUAUAGCUUGGUUAUUAGUUUACAAAAGAACUAGCUAUGACUUUGGUAAGGUAGGUCCUGUAGGUGGUUCAAAUCCAAAAAUGCAUAUAGGAGUCAAUAACUUUGAUAAGGUAGAAUAUCUUUUGCAUAUAGGUAGGUCCUGUAGGUGAUUCGAAUUAAAUCCAGUCCCUUGGAUCUAGAAAGGGCAACCUAGAUUAGAGCGAGCAUAUAUCCCUUCAAAUGGUUAACCAGAGACGUGGAUCAAAGAUCCAAUGGCUCAGACGCGGAACGCGUUAUAACAGCCGCACGGUUUUGUAAAAGAGUUCCUAGGAAACCUAUGAAUCUUCCUGAAGUCCAAUGUUAUGUUAAAAUAAUUACAAACAUGUCCUAGCAUUUUUGGUUUAGCCCCUGAGCUCUUGAAAAAUCAUACCCACCAUCUAGGGAGGUCAAAUUUACACUUGAGCCCUCAUCUUUACUGUUAUAGUUACACAUAGGUACCUGGACUUUACAAACAGACCCCUGAAUUCAUGUUUUCAUAUAAAAAUAAUCCAAAUUCUUGAUUAAUCAUAACUUCUACGUUUUAACUCUGAUUUUAGUGGUUCAUGAAUCUACGGAUUCGUUUCGACGCGUAAAAUAAUCUUAUGCAGUUUGUUUCUCUGUUUGGUGUGAUGUUAUUUUUAUUUUGUUUGUUUGUAUUGCUAUGAAUAGACGAUCAAGUGGACGAGGAACCUAAAGCCCAACAGUUUGAGGGAUCUGAGUAAGAGCUCACAUUAGAAGGCAUGUGUCUUCUUGAUCACAUUGUUUUGACCUAAUAACAUUUACUGUUAUAUUCUCAUAUAUGCAUGAACAUUUAUGUUAAAUUGGGGGGCCUAAUAAGUUACAUAGUUUGUUUUUCCUCAUACCUUGUUUAUAACUGGUUCACUUAUUAUUGGGUACAUUUGGUACUGCUAUACUUAGUUAUGGGAUAAUGUUACUUGUGAAGCAUUGAUCAUGAUUUUUUAUUUUAGUUGAGUUAUUUAUUAUGCAUGAUAAGAUCUUUAAUUGAAACAUGGAGAACCACCUGAGAAAUAGUGCAACCACAAGGACUAUUAUGGUUCUAGUCUUGGCUAAUUAAUUAGGGAAACUAUUAUGUGAGAUCUUACUCGGUUAGGGGCAAACGGUCCUGACACACUGUUAGAUGCAUCUGGAUUUAUCUUUAAAUCCGGAUGUGACAACAACUCAUAGCCAUGAAUCAAACGACUUUCAACUUUUUUUUUUCUUAAAACAACUUUUUCACAACUUGAUAGGCGUGGAGCUUUUUAUGCUCACAAAGAAAUUGAGAGAGACGAGGCUAAAAAAGUACCUUUUUCACAUCUCUCUCGAUUCUCUCUCAGCUAUAUGUAUGAAACUGUUUUGCCAAAUAUUUUUCUAAAAAAUUGCCUUUAGAAAGCUACUCAUAAAGUUAUUUUCUAAAAAAAACUUCAAUAGUAAAGUUAAGCUGUGCCAAAUGGGGGUCUAAUAAUCAAUCAAUUAUAUUACCAAUCUCUCCUUACUUUAGAAUGGGGAUAUAUGUAUGUUAUAAUUAAUACACUCCGAGCAACUUUAUUAUUAUAUGUAUUAUUACAAGGCACAAUGGCACAUACAUACAGUGAUACAGCUGCAAUAUACAUGAACACCCUUUGUCUCGCUCCUGCUUUAUCUAUGCAACUGCUGGCAUGCAUGCAAAAGACGCCUCGGGAGAUAAGACCCCUGUUAUUCUGCUAGUACGUAUGCAUGCAUGUGCACGAUCGAUGGGCGCGAUGGUCAUAUCAUCCGUUGGUUCAGUAGUAGGGCUGGAUCUUCCAGCGCUGGUUGUCGCCCUCGCACCACUUCCAGAGCACGACGUCGGUGCCGUCACGGACGCCGCCGUGCCACUUGUCGCCGUGGAGGGCGUCGAAGUUGAGGUAGAUGUUGUUGACCAUGCGGACGCAGCGGAAGCCGUUGCCGACGUCGCGGCUCUCCGUCCACAGCACCGACUCGUCCAAAAAGUCCGGGUUGUAGGGCACCAGGCGCACCGGGUGGGACUGCCCCAGCGAGUGCUUGAUGGCCUCCCCGGUCGCCUUGUUCACCAGCGCGAACGCCGGGUAACCUUCCUCGUCCUUGAUGCUCGUGCUCCACCGCAUGUCCUUGAUCCAGUGCUGGUACUCGUCCUUGGGGUUCGCCGGCGCCAGCACCACCUUCCCGUCGCGGACGCUCAUGGCGUAGUUGGGGUUGGCGCGGCAGUACACCUUCACGGUCGGCUGCGGCGGCAGCGCCCGCCCGCACCCGUUGCCCUCGAUGUUCACCUGCGACAUCCCGUACGGGACCGCCGGAGCGUACCCCGGCGUCGCGAUGCCACCGCCGCCGUAGUACCCGCCGCUGUAGCGCUGAUCGCGGCCGCCGUAGUAUCCGCCGUCCAUGACGAUGGUGCCUUUGUUCGCCGCCUGCUUUUCAACCUCACUCACCUCGAUCAACUACUCCUCUGGCGACUGAUGAGCGAUCGAGAGGCCCUGACGCAGACAAUGCAACGGCCGGGCCGGCAGAUUUAUAGGGCGCUGCCGGUUGCUCCCGGCGUCCCCAGCUGCCCCACUGGUGGUGCAUGUACGUGGUGGCGUUAGCAUCACGCUGCGCGAGGUGGUGGGUAGGCAUCGCAUCGUCAGUGGAUGGAUGGUUGUGCGCGCAUGGGCAGGAAGGACGAUGCCAUGCGAAACUAGCCGAGGGAAAAAGCGAUUCGGUUUCUAGUCGUUCUUGGAAGAAGAAUCCUUAGCAUCUCCAGCAGUAGGAGAAAAAACCAACACAAAGUCUAGUUAUUGGUUAAGAUUAAUCGAUAGCUUGGAAACUUAAAUUCUCGUUAGGAUUAAAGGAGAUUGAGAGAAAAAUUAGUUUAUUUAUUCCCUAAUUCACUUCGAUCCUGGAGAGGAUUCGAGUUUUCAAACUAGCCACAAAAGAGUGUUUUGAAAUUUCAAAGUUGUUCGUUCUCUCCAGCAAAACGAGAAAAUUCCAUGCCCAAUGAGAAAUUAAGGAGCUGUUAUGUCUGAUUUUAAAGGUUCGUUUAGGCGGUGAACAAUAACAAUUAGAUCUUAAAACCAACCAUCCUGAAAACCAGCAUUAUACAUUACCUUUUCUUUCUCUUAACUCAUCUCUCAAUUAUUUAUUUUAGGCAUAUGUAGUGUAGAAAAUGUGAAGAAAAAAACGGUUAAUUGGGGAGGAGAGUUCUCCCCUUUAUUUGAGUGGCUGAGAAAAACAAUCUCAUUAAAGGUUUAGGGGCAUGAAGCUACAAAAUCUAUAUCUCUAUCAUCUAUUAAGAUGAUAGUGUGAUCACAGGUGUAACCAUGCUUCCUUCUGACGCCUAUAGAAAAAUAGUCCAAAAUUAUUACACGGAGAGGGGGAUGAAACCCGUGCGCCUUGGUAAAGGCAGCAGACACUGGCAAUGCUCUGCUACCCACUUAAGCCCAAUCAAGUUUGUGUCUAAUAGUCAAUAGGUGUUAUAAAUAUGUGUAGGCUGAGUUUUCAAAAUAAUAAAAAAUAAUAAUGUCAAGCCAGACUGGCACUACGGGUCGAGACAGCGGCCCAAGCAUGGCACGCCUCUCGUGCCCCUUAUUUUAAUAAUGUCAGGUUGGGCCACGACACUAUUAAAUGGUUCGUGCUUUAGCCCGGUGUUGGUGACUUGUUCUCAAAUGCUAUGAAUUAAGAACAAGGCAACAUAAAAUGUUAAAUAUUAAUGCCCUUCGUCUGCUGAAGCAUUAUCUCCCCAAGGAUUUAAUGAACUUCGGACGAAGGCCAUGAGCAAAAUAUCACGAAGGUCACACCUUCGUGAUCAGACUUAUAAAACAAUGUAAAAUAAAAUAUAAAACAUUAGAGAAAGAUGUACCAAAAACAGAUAACAUUAUUCACAUAUUUUAUUAUAUGGACCUAAAUAUUAAAACAUGAUAUUUAGGUACAUUUAUACCUUCGUCUUGGCAGAAAGCAAUAAUUUCAACGUAAUGUGCCAGCGAUUACAAGAUUGCGUGAACAGUACAUGGGUACUGUUCACCUAUUUAUAGGCACAGGGCGCAUCCUGUGUAAAAUUACAUUUAUGCUAUUUACAAUCGAUUACAAUAAUGACACAAAACACCAUGGGUCUUUAAGUCAUUUCAUCUUUAAGUCGGUUCACCCCUUCGUCUUGAGAUCUGUCAUUGUGCCGAAGCUUAUAGGUGAUAGCUUCGUCGCUACUCCUGAUAGGAUCUGCCGAAGGUGUUCUCUUUCUUUAGGAUCUUCGGCUACGGAGCAUACCCCCAACACCCGGUCCAAUAGGUGCGACCCAUUUGGCUAUCUAUAUCGCGCCCUCCCUCCACUCCAUCGUCAGUCGCAAGACCAUCCCAUGUUCCACGCACCGCUGCACAACCCGCGCUCCUCGCCUCUUUCGCGUCGCCGCCAAACGCCCACCAUCCUCGUCUCCCUCCACUCCGGCCCCUUCCUGCGCCUGCCCCCACAUGUUGCCCCUGCCUUCCCGGCCCCAUGUCCUAUCGCGAUAGACCCCCCUUGGUCCCCUCCAUCACCUUCGCCCAUCGCCUCCUCCUCAACGCUCGCGCCUCCUGCAAGGAUCUCUAGGGGCUCAUGGCCAACGUCGAGACACUCGAGACUCCAUCCAGGGCCAUGACAGGUUGUCUUAUCCAUACGCGCGCUACUGCCACGAGGUGGAUGAGGAGCUCAUGCGCAACAUGAUCUAGGUCAACGUCGAGGGUGUAAUGCGGGUCACGCACGCUGUGCUGCCAGACAUGGUCGAGACUCAAAAGGAAGUGCGAUGCCAUUGUCAACAUCGACUUCCGUGCCAUCUCUGACGUGCCUUCCUAUUUGCUCUAUUUUGUCUACGCCGCCACCAAAGCAACAAUACUAAUAAGAGUUUUUCUCGCAUCUAUCUAGCUAAAUGGAUAAGGGUUUGUUCGUUUGAGCUAGAAUUCACCCUAGAAUUGUUCCAGUUGAUCAAACUCUAUAUAAUUUAGACAAAUAAUCUAGCUAGAAAUAGUUACGGGUGACCAUUGCUUCAGAACCGAACAUGCCCUAAAGAUAUAUGUAGGCAUACCAUAAAAUCAAAAAAGCUAUAGACAUUCCAUAACGGCUACGCAUUUUAAGGACAUGAAACACAGGUGCCCAAACAAUAUAGAACAACAAUGCACAAUUUCAUUAUUAUGGAUCCACUUCGCAAGUAAAUUAGAAGAAUCCACGCAUCAUAUUUGGAUAAAAAUUCCUUAAGUUCAUCAUCUGUGCAUAUGUCCCAAAUUUGCAAUAAAGCUAGUAAAGCAAGAUGAUAUAUCGCUUGAAGACUUGUCUCGUCCAUCCUACACCAAACAUACCAUACUAUCAAGGUUUAUACAUGUCGAGCAAGAUUUAAAUAAGAAACAUCGGCUAACUAAUCUUUUUGAAUUUCAAUAUAUCUUAUCAUAACAUGUUCACUCCAUAGCAACGCACAGGUGUUUAUCUAAUAGUAAUAAUAAUCCAAAAAACACUACAAUAUAGAGGGUACUCGAGACGAUGUAUAUUAUUAUUACAUAAGGGAUGUUUGGGAUGGCUCUAAAUUCCAGCUCCAGUGUGGAGUUGUAGUUUAUAAUGUGAAUUUAAAUAGUUUUAAAAACAUUUUAAUAUAAAUAAUAAUAAAAAUUAAUUAUUAUCUAAAUGUCUUAUAAAUGUUUAUAACUUCAGCUCCAUGAUUUUUUUGGAGCACCUAAUGAUCCGCUCCACUAACUCCAUUAAAUUUUCUAAAGCUAGAGCUGUCCCAAACAUGGUCGUAGUAAUAGUGUUGGCUCUGAUUCAGGGCUAGACAUUGAGGGUGUACCGCUUGGUGGUGCCCUCUACGACGACGCGACGGUCCACGACCUCGCUGCAGGAGCGGCUCCUUCCCUGCGUCGGUCCAGAUGGCCUGCGAUGGCACAUGGUUGUCUUCCUCUAGGGUUGGCAGGCCACCCGAGGUGUCUCUAGACGACCUAGAGUCGUCUACAGAUUAAGAAAUCUAGUCGAGGAAAAGUAUCUUGAAUGAACUGGCUCUUGCUCCCUGGAAGGGGUAGGAUCCUAGGGUCGUCUUGGGGUCGACAUGCCACUCAAGACAGAUUUAGACGACGUAGAGUCUAAUAGGGGUUGAGGUGGAUAUGUGGAAAGCUACAACUAGAACUACAGUACAUCAACUUUUAGGGCAGGAAUGAUAAACAAAGUAAUAGAUUGGUUCGAUUGGAAUGUUGAAAGGGAAUUAGGCUUACACCUAGUCCCUAAUUAUUUUUGGUGGUUGAAUUGCCCAACACAAAUUUAUUGGCCUAACUAGUUUGCCCAAGUGUAUAGAUUAUACAGGUAUAAAAGGUUCACUCUCAGCCAAUAAAAAGACCAAGUUUUGGAUUCAACAAAGGAGCAAAGUGGCAACCGAAGGCCCUCUGGUCUGGGAGCACCGGACUGUCCGGUGUACACCGGACAGUGUCCGGUGCACCACCGGACAGUGUCCGGUGCACCAGAGGACUCCAACGCAAACUCGCCACCUUCGGGAAUUUCCAGAGGCGACUCCGCUAUAAUUCACCGGACUGUCCGGUGUACACCGGACAGUGUCCGGUGCGCCAAGUAGGAGCGGCCUCAGGAACUCGCCAGCUUCGGGAAACGCCAACGGCUAGUCCGCUAAAAUUCACCGGACUGUCCGGUGUGCACCGGACUGUCCGGUGCGACUCCGGAGCAACGGCUAUCUCCGCGCCAACGGCUCUCUGCCGCGCAUUAAAUGCGCGCACAGCGCGCGCAGAAGUCAAGCGCGCCCAUACUGGCACACCGGACAAGGAACAGUGCAUGUCCGGUGUGCACCGGACACCCAGGCGGGCCCACAAGUCAGAAGCUCCAACGGUCAGAAUCCAACGGCAGUGAUGACGUGGCAGGGGGCACCGGACUGUCCGGUGUGCACCGGACUGUCCGGUGCGCCAUCGAACAGACAGUCUUCCAACGGCCACAUUUGGUGGUUGGGGCUAUAAAUACCCUAACCACCCCACCAUUCAUGGCAUCCAAGUUUUCCACUUCCCAACUACUACAAGAGCUCUAGCAUUCAAUUCUAGACACACCAAAAGAGAUCAAAUCCUCUCCAAUUCCACAAAAGGCUUUAGCGAUUAGAGAGAGAGAUUUGCCGUGUUACUUUUGGGCUCUUGCGCUUGGAUUGCUUCUUUUCUUUCUCACUUGUUCUUAUGAUCAAAGUUCCAUUGUAAUCAAGGCAAGAGGCACCAAUUGUGUGGUGGCCCUUGCGGGGAAGUUUUGUUCCCGGCUUUGAUUUGAGAAGAGAAGCUCACUCGGUCCGAGGGACCGUUUGAGAGAGGGAAGGGUUGAAAGAGACCCGGCCUUUGUGGCCUCCUCAACGGGGAGUAGGUUUGCGAGAACCGAACCUCGGUAAAACAAAUCCGCGUGUCACACUCUUCAUUUGCUUGAGAUUUGUUUUGCGCCCUCUCUCGCGGACUCAUUUAUAUUUCUAACGCUAACCCGGCUUGUAGUUGUGUCUAUAUUUGUAAAUUUUAGUUUCGCCCUAUUCACCCCCCCUCUAGGCGACUAUCAAUUGGUAUCAAAGCCCGGUGCUUCAUUAGAGCCUAACCGCUCGAAGUGAUGUCGGGAGAUCACGCCAAGAAGGAGAUGGAGACCGGCGAAAAGCCCACUACAAGCAACGGGAGCACUUCAUCGGAAGAGUCCCGCACCAAACGGAGGGAGAAGAAAAAGAGCUCCUCCAACAAAGGGAAGGAGAAGAAAUCUUCUUCUCACCACAAAGAGAAGAAGGAAAAAUCUUCUUCCCACAAGCCGCAUCGGAGUGGGGACAAACAAAAGAGGAUGAGGAAAGUGGUCUACUACGAGACCGACACUUCAUCAACAUCAACCUCCGGCUCCGACGCGCCCUCCGUAACUUCUAAACGCCAAGAGCGUAAGAAGUUUAGUAAGAUCCCCCUACACUACCCUCGCAUUUCUAAACAUGCACCUUUACUUUCCGUCCCAUUAGGCAAACCACCAACUUUUGAUGGUGAAGAUUAUGCUAGGUGGAGUGAUUUAAUGCGAUUUCAUCUAACCUCACUCCACAAAAGUAUAUAGGAUGUUGUUGAGUUUGGUGCACAGGUACCAUCGGUAGGGGACAAAAAUUAUGAUGAGGAUGAGGUGGCCCAAAUCGAGCACUUCAAUUCUCAAGCGACAACGAUACUCCUCGCCUCUUUAAGUAGAGAGGAGUAUAACAAAGUACAAGGGUUGAAAAGCGCCAAGGAGGUUUGGGAUGUGCUCAAAACCGCGCACGAGGGAGAUGAGCUCACCAAGAUCACCAAGAGGGAAACGAUCGAGGGGGAGCUCGGUCGGUUCCGGCUUCGCAAAGGGGAGGAGCCACAACACAUGUACAACCGGCUCAAGACCUUGGUGAACCAAGUGCGCAACCUCGGGAGCAUAAAGUGGGACGACCACGAGGUGGUUAAGGUUAUUCUAAGAUCUCUUAUUUUCCUUAACCCCACUCAAGUUCAAUUAAUUCGUGGUAAUCCUAGAUAUACUAAAAUGACCCCCGAGGAAGUUAUCGGGCACUUUGUAAGUUUUGAGUGCAUGAUCGAAGGCUCGAGAAAGAUCAACGAGCUUGACGAACCCACCACAUCCGAAGCUCAACCCGUCGCAUUCAAGGCAACGGAAGAAAAGAAGGAGGAGGCUACACCAAGUCGACAACCAAUAGACGCCUCCAAGCUCGACAAUGAGGAAAUGGCGCUCGUCAUCAAGAGCUUCCGCCAAAUCCUCAAACAAAGGAGGGGGAAAGACUACAAGUCCCGCUCCAAGAAGGUUUGCUACAAAUGUGGUAAGCCCAGUCAUUUUAUUGCUAAAUGUCCCAUAUCUAGUGACAGUGACCGAGGCGACGACAAGAAGGGGAGAAGAAAGGAGAAGAAGAGGUACUACAAGAAGAAGGGCGGCGAUGCCCAUGUUUGUCGGGAGUGGGAUUCCGACGAAAGCUCAAGCGACUCCUCCGACGACGAGGACGCCGCCAACAUCGCCGUCACCAAGGGACUCCUCUUCCCCAACGUCGGCCACAAGUGCCUCAUGGCAAAGGACGGCAAAAGGAAGAAGGUAAAAUCAAGAUCCUCCACUAAAUAUGAAACCUCUAGUGAUGAAAAUGCUAGUGAUGAGGAGGAUAACUUGCGUACCCUUUUUGCCAAUCUUAACAUGGAACAAAAGGAAAAAUUAAAUGAAUUAAUUAGUGCUAUUCAUGAAAAGGAUGACCUUUUGGAUUCCCAAGAGGAUUGUCUUAUUAAGGAAAACAAGAAACAUGUUAAGGUUAAAAAUGCUUACGCCCUAGAAGUAGAAAAAUGUCAAAAACUAUCUAGUGAGCUAAGCACUUGCCAUGAGAUGAUUGACAACCUUAGACAUGAAAAUGCUAGUUUAAAUGCUAAGGUUGAUUCACAUGUUUGUAAUGUUUCAAUUCCCAAUCCUAGAGAUAAUAAUGAUGAUUUGCUUGCUAGGAUUGAAGAAUUGAACAUUUCUCUUGCUAGCCUUAGAAUUGAGAAUGAAAAAUUGCUUGCUAAGGCUAAAGAUUUUGAUGUUUGCAAUACUACCAUUUCCGACCUUAGAACUAAGAAUGAUAUCUUGCAUGCUAAGGUUGUAGAAUUAAAAUCUUGCAAACCCUCUACAUCUACCAUUGAGCAUGUUUCCAUUUGUACUAGAUGUAGAGAUGUUGAUAUUAAUGCUAUUCAUGAUCACAUGGCUUUAAUUAAACAACAAAAUGAUCAUAUAGCAAUAUUAGAUGCUAAAAUUGCCGAGCAUAACUUAGAGAAUGAAAAAUUUAAAUUUGCUAGAAGUAUGCUCUAUAAUGGGAGACGCCCUGGCAUCAAGGAUGGCAUUGGAUUCCAAAGGGGAGACAAUGUCAAACUUAGUGCCCCUCCAAAAAGAUUGUCCAACUUUGUUAAGGGCAAGGCUCCCAUGCCUCAGGAUAACGAGGGUUACAUUUUAUACCCUGCCGGUUAUCCUGAGAGCAAAAUUAGGAGAAUUCACUCUAGGAAGUCUCACUCUGGCCCAAAUCAUGCUUUUAUGUAUAAGGGUGAGACAUCUAGUUCUAGGCAACCAACCCGUGCUAAGUUGCCUAAGAAGACUCCUAGUGCAUCAAAUGAACAUAGUCUUUCAUUUAAAACCUUUGAUGCAUCUUAUGUGUUAACUAACAAAUCCGGCAAGGUAGUUGCCAAAUAUGUUGGGGGCAAGCACAAGGGGUCAAAGACUUGUGUUUGGGUACCCAAAGUUCUUGUGUCUAAUGCCAAAGGACCCAAAACCAUUUGGGUACCUAAAGUCAAGAACUAAAAUUGUUUUGUAGGUAUAUGCAUCCGGGGGCUCAAGUUGGAUACUCGACAGCGGGUGCACAAACCACAUGACUGGGGAGAAAAAGAUGUUCUCCUCAUAUGAGAAAAACCAAGAUCCCCAACGAGCGAUCACAUUCGGGGAUGGAAAUCAAGGUUUGGUCAAAGGUUUGGGUAAAAUAGCUAUAUCUCCUGACCACUCCAUUUCCAAUGUUUUUCUUGUAGAUUCUUUAGAUUACAACUUGCUUUCUGUUUCCCAAUUAUGUCAAAUGGGCUACAACUGUCUUUUUACUGAUAUUGGUGUCACUGUCUUUAGAAGAAGUGAUGAUUCAAUAGCAUUUAAGGGAGUGUUAGAGGGUCAGCUAUACUUGGUAGAUUUUGAUAGAGCUGAACUCGACACUUGCUUAAUUGCUAAGACUAACAUGGGUUGGCUCUGGCACCGCCGACUAGCCCAUGUUGGGAUGAAGAAUCUUCACAAGCUUCUAAAGGGAGAACACAUUUUAGGAUUAACAAAUGUUCAUUUUGAGAAAGACAGGAUUUGUAGCGCAUGCCAAGCAGGGAAGCAAGUUGGCUCUCAUCAUCCGCAUAAGAACAUAAUGACGACCGACAGGCCACUGGAGAUCCUGCACAUGGAUCUAUUCGGCCCGAUCGCUUACAUAAGCAUCGGCGGGAGUAAGUACUGUCUUGUUAUUGUGGAUGAUUAUUCUCGCUUCACUUGGGUAUUCUUUUUACAGGAAAAAUCUCAAACCCAAGAAACCUUAAAGGGAUUCUUGAGACGGGCUCAAAAUGAGUUCGGCUUAAGGAUCAAGAAAAUAAGAAGCGACAACGGGACGGAGUUCAAGAACUCUCAAAUCGAAGGCUUUCUUGAGGAGGAGGGCAUCAAGCAUGAGUUCUCUUCUCCCUACACGCCACAACAAAAUGGUGUAGUGGAGAGGAAGAAUCGAACUCUAUUGGACAUGGCAAGGACCAUGCUUGAUGAGUACAAGACUUCGGAUCGGUUUUGGGCCGAGGCGGUCAACACCGCCUGCUACGCCAUCAACCGGUUGUAUCUACACCGAAUCCUCAAGAAGACAUCAUAUGAACUCCUAACCGGUAAAAAGCCCAACAUUUCAUAUUUUAGAGUCUUUGGUAGCAAAUGCUUUAUUCUUGUUAAAAGAGGUAGAAAAUCUAAAUUUGCUCCUAAGACUGUAGAAGGCUUUUUACUAGGAUAUGACUCAAACACAAGGGCAUAUAAGGUCUUUAACAAGUCCACUGGACUAGUUGAAGUCUCAUGUGACGUUGUGUUUGAUGAGACUAACGGCUCUCAAGUAGAGCAAGUUGAUCUUGAUGAGAUAGGUGAUGAAGAGGCUCCGUGCAUCGCGCUAAUGAACAUGUCCAUUGGGGAUGUGUGUCCUAAGGAAUCCGAGGAGCCUCCAAAUGCACAAGAUCAACCAUCCUCCUCCAUGCAAGCAUCCCCACCAACUCAAAAUGAAGAUGAGGCUCAAGUUGAUAAAGAAGAAGAUCAAUCAAAUGAGCCACCUCAAGAUGAAGGCAUAGAUCAAGGGGGAGAUGCAAAUAAUCAAGACAAGGAAGAUGAAGAGCAAAGGCCGCCACACCCAAGAGUCCACCAAGCAAUCCAACGAGAUCACCCUGUCGACACCAUCCUCGGCGAUAUUCAUAAGGGGGUAACUACUCGAUCUCGUGUUGCACAUUUUUGUGAACAUUACUCGUUUGUUUCCUCUAUUGAGCCACACAGGGUGGAGGAAGCACUCCAAGAUUCGGAUUGGGUGGUGGCGAUGCAAGAGGAGCUCAACAACUUCACUAGGAAUGAGGUAUGGCAUUUAGUUCCACGUCCUAAUCAAAAUGUUGUAGGAACCAAAUGGGUUUUCCGCAACAAGCAAGAUGAGCAUGGUGUGGUGACAAGGAACAAAGCUCGACUUGUGGCCAAAGGAUACUCCCAAGUCGAAGGUUUGGAUUUCGGUGAAACCUAUGCACCCGUAGCUAGGCUUGAGUCAAUUCGCAUAUUAUUAGCCUAUGCUACUUACCAUGGCUUUAAGCUUUAUCAAAUGGACGUGAAAAGUGCCUUCCUCAAUGGACCAAUCAAGGAAGAGGUCUAUGUUGAGCAACCUCCCGGCUUUGAAGACAGUGAGUAUCCUAACCAUGUCUAUAAGCUCUCUAAGGCGCUUUAUGGGCUCAAGCAAGCCCCAAGAGCAUGGUAUGAAUGCCUUAGAGAUUUUCUUAUUGCAAAUGGAUUCAAAGUCGGAAAGGCCGAUCCUACACUCUUUACUAAAACUCUUGAAAAUGACUUGUUUGUAUGCCAAAUUUAUGUUGAUGAUAUUAUAUUUGGGUCUACUAACGAGUCUACUUGUGAAGAGUUUAGUAGGAUCAUGACUCAGAAAUUCGAGAUGUCUAUGAUGGGGGAGUUGAAGUAUUUCUUAGGAUUCCAAGUAAAACAACUCCAAGAGGGCACCUUCAUUAGCCAAACGAAGUACACUCAAGACAUUCUAAACAAGUUUGGGAUGAAGGAUGCCAAGCCCAUCAAGACACCCAUGGGAACCAAUGGGCAUCUCGACCUCGACACGGGAGGUAAGUCCGUGGAUCAAAAGGUAUACCAGUCGAUGAUAGGUUCUUUACUCUAUUUAUGUGCAUCUCGACCGGAUAUUAUGCUUUCCGUUUGCAUGUGUGCAAGAUUCCAAUCCGACCCUAAGGAAUCCCACCUUAAGGUCGUAAAACGAAUCUUGAGAUAUUUGGCUUAUACUCCUAAGUUUGGGCUUUGGUACCCUCGGGGAUCCACAUUUGAUUUGAUUGGUUAUUCUGAUGCCGAUUGGGCGGGGUGCAAAAUCAAUAGGAAGAGCACAUCGGGGACUUGCCAGUUCUUGGGAAGAUCCUUGGUGUCUUGGGCUUCAAAGAAGCAAAAUUCGGUUGCUCUUUCCACCGCCGAAGCCGAGUACAUUGCCGCAGGCCAUUGUUGCGCGCAAUUGCUUUGGAUGAGGCAAACCCUGCGGGACUACGGUUACAAAUUAACCAAAGUCCCUUUGCUAUGUGAUAAUGAGAGUGCAAUCAAAAUGGCCGACAAUCCCGUCGAGCAUAGCCGCACUAAGCACAUAGCCAUUCGGUAUCAUUUUCUUAGGGAUCACUAACAAAAGGGAGAUAUCGAGAUUUCUUAUAUUCACACUAAAGAUCAAUUAGCCGAUAUCUUUACCAAGCCUCUUGACGAACAAACUUUUACUAAACUUAGGCAUGAGCUCAAUAUUCUUGAUUCGCGCAAUUUCUUUUGCUAGAUUGCACACAUAGCUCAUUUAUAUACCUUUGAUCAUAUCUCUUUUAUAUGCUAUGACUAAUGUGUCUUCAAGUCUAUUUCAAAACCAAGUCAUAGGUAUAUUGAAAGGGAAUUGGAGUCUUCGGCGAAGACAAAGGCUUCCACUCCGUAACUCAUACUUCGCCAUCACUCCAAGCAACUCUCUAAUCUUUGGGGAGAAAUGAGCAUCAAAGAAAAGGACUUCGUCUUUGGGAAAGAGUAAGAGCCCAAAGCUAAAGGACCGGACUUCGUCUUUGGUAUAAUCUUAACUCACUCAUUUAUGACCAAAGAGGAAGAUGGCACUUCGAGGGUUCUAAUGAUUCCGUUUUUUUGGCGAUUUAUGCCAAAAAGGGGGAGAAAUGAGCCCAAAGCAAAAGGACCGCACCACCACCAAAUUUCAAACACUUGAGUGAUGAAUAUUUUCAAUUGGUAUCCUAUUGUGUUCAAAAGGGGGAGAAAGUAGUAUUUCAAAAAAUUAUCAAAACCCUCUUGAACACUAAGAGGAGGAUCUCACUUAGGGGGAGUUUUGUUUAGUCAAAGGAGAAGCAUUUGAAACAGGGGGAGAAAAUUUCAAAUCUUGAAAAUGCUUUGCAAAAUCUUAUUCAUUCACCUUUGACUAUUUGCAAAAGAACUUUGAAAAGGAUUUACAAAAGAGUUUGCAAAAACAAAACUCGUGGUGCAAGCGUGGUCCAAAAUGUUAUAUAAGAAAGAACCAAUCCAUGCAUAUCUUGUAAGUAUUCAUAUUGGCUCAAUUCCAAGCAACCUUUACACUUACAUUAUGCAAACUAGUUCAAUUAUGCACUUCUAUAUUUGCUUUGGUUUGUGUUGGCAUCAAUCACCAAAAAGGGGGAGAUUGAAAGGGAAUUAGGCUUACACCUAGUCCCUAAUUAUUUUUGGUGGUUGAAUUGCCCAACACAAAUUUAUUGGCCUAACUAGUUUGCCCAAGUGUAUAGAUUAUACAGGUAUAAAAGGUUCACUCUCAGCCAAUAAAAAGACCAAGUUUUGGAUUCAACAAAGGAGCAAAGUGGCAACCGAAGGCCCUCUGGUCUGGGAGCACCGGACUGUCCGGUGUACACCGGACAGUGUCCGGUGCACCAGAGGACUCCAACGCAAACUCGCCACCUUCGGGAAUUUCCAGAGGCGACUCCGCUAUAAUUCACCGGACUGUCCGGUGUACACCGGACAGUGUCCGGUGCGCCAAGGAGGAGCGGCCUCAGGAACUCGCCAGCUUCGGGAAACGCCAACGGCUAGUCCGCUAAAAUUCACCGGACUGUCCGGUGUGCACCGGACUGUCCGGUGCGACUCCGGAGCAACGGCUAUCUCCGCGCCAACGGCUCUCUGCCGCGCAUUAAAUGCACGCACAGCGCGCGCAGAAGUCAGGCGCGCCCAUACUGGCACACCGGACAAGGAACAGUGCAUGUCCGGUGUGCACCGGACACCCAGGCGGGCCCACAAGUCAGAAGCUCCAACGGUCAGAAUCCAACGGCAGUGAUGACGUGGCAGGGGGCACCGGACUGUCCGGUGUGCACCGGACUGUCCGGUGCGCCAUCGAACAGACAGCCUUCCAACGGCCACAUUUGGUGGUUGGGGCUAUAAAUACCCCAACCACCCCACCAUUCAUGGCAUCCAAGUUUUCCACUUCCCAACUACUACAAGAGCUCUAGCAUUCAAUUCUAGACACACCAAAAGAGAUCAAAUCCUCUCCAAUUCCACAAAAGGCUUUAGCGAUUAGAGAGAGAGAUUUGCCGUGUUACUUUUGGGCUCUUGCGCUUGGAUUGCUUCUUUUCUUUCUCACUUGUUCUUAUGAUCAAAGUUCCAUUGUAAUCAAGGCAAGAGGCACCAAUUGUGUGGUGGCCCUUGCGGGGAAGUUUUGUUCCCGGCUUUGAUUUGAGAAGAGAAGCUCACUCGGUCCGAGGGACCGUUUGAGAGAGGGAAGGGUUGAAAGAGACCCGGCCUUUGUGGCCUCCUCAACGGGGAGUAGGUUUGCGAGAACCGAACCUCGGUAAAACAAAUCCGCGUGUCACACUCUUCAUUUGCUUGAGAUUUGUUUUGCACCCUCUCUCGCGGACUCAUUUAUAUUUCUAACGCUAACCCGGCUUGUAGUUGUGUCUAUAUUUGUAAAUUUCAGUUUCGCCCUAUUCACCCCCCCCUCUAGGCGACUAUCAAAUGUGUUCGGGGGUUCCCAAUCGACCGUAUCCCUUUAUAUUUAUAGGAGAGGAGGUAUGGACCUGUUCCUAGGUGAGAUCCAAGAUAUUCCCAUGGAUAGGUUAGGAUAACCACGUAUGGGAUAAGUACUCUCAUCCAUGUUAAUCUGGACAUGGGCGUGAAAUAUCCGGACCACAGUGCUGGACCGUUCGGCCGUGGCUAGGUGCCAAAUAUGGUGUUCAACAUAUGCCCCUGCCUUUUGGUGGAGCUUGGUGAACUAAAAUCACCUAGUACUACCAGACUCUUUCGAGAAACAAUAGAUUCUGCAACUUGCCUUGUUCCCAAAAUAGGAACACUAGCCCGUUGUAAGUCAUCGGCUCUUGUGAUCAAAUAAUAUAACUAUUUGAUAGAACUUUAAUGUACAUAGAUCGUUUUGGAUUGCAUCCUAUUUAGUUGUAUCUACCUUAUCAACAUGUCAAUAGGCAAAAACUUGUGGUGCCCCCAGCCCGAAUAAGCAAACGGAUUUGGGCCAGUAAUACCGAUUCAUCGUCGUACCAGCCCCACUUGAGUAGGACAACCCAUCAGCGAUGAAAACACUAGAAAGCACCAUGACAUCCCUAGAGGAGGAUGACCAGACGAUCUUGGUUGCACCACUUUUUGGGCCAUUUUAGUCGGCCUCUGCUUUUGCAUAGACCACAUUUUUUACUUUGUUCGUUUUAUUGGUCGGUCGUGUGGAACGACCUUCUUCUUCAUAUAUUUAGCAUAUAGCUGAUAAAAAGUAGGACCUACUCUGUUGAGUCGAUCAGACGUCUUGGAAGUGUUUUGCUUCCUAGUACCUAUUUUAGGACGCUAUGGUCGGACGGUCUAAGGUUGCUUCUGCUUCUAGUUGUAGGCAGACUGUCUGGCCUUCACAGCUGGACUGUCCACGCUUGACCCGGACUAUCUGGCCUUAGUGCUGGACCCACCCGGACUAUCAUGCUUGCACUCCCAGCGUCUCUGGUCUUUCUUUUGUCUAGAGCCUUUCGAGUAAACACUCCAUGCGAGGGUCACCAAUUGUAACACCCUAGCCACCCCGAGCAUGGCGGUCGUCACUCCUUACAGCUUUAUAGGCUUAGACUCUCCACACAGAUCAACACUAGUCUUUUAUGCGCACUUUGUACUCACUUAUGCACACCCAGGAAGCACUUCUCGAUCGGUCACCCAUCCCAAAUUGCUCCAAGCAAAGCACGCUUAAUAACUUGGUGGUUCUUUGGAGAGGAGCUUCCGGAGAAGAAGGAUCACCUUGUGAGUAUGAGUAUUCUAAUAAUUCUAUUAAGCCAUGGGACAUGUCAUCACAAUCCACCCCCUUAGAAGAUCAAUGUCCUUGUCGAUCAAUCCCAAGUCAGGAUCCUCCCUUCUUGGCCACGUAUGUGCGUCUAGUGUCAGCACAUAUACCAUGUCAUCUGACCACUUUGUGCCCACAUACGCCAUGCACACUAUGUCCACACACCUAGCCUAUACACACUCAUGAAACCGUGAGGGUCAGCUCUGAUACCAAUUGUAACAUGCCAGCCACCACAGUCCUGGCGGUCGUCACUCCUAGCACCUUUAUAGGCUUAGAAUCUCCCCAUAGGCCAACACUAGUCUUUUCCGCACACUUUGUCCUCACUCAUGCGCACCUGGGAAGCAAUCCCCAAAUUUCUUCAAGCAAGGCAUGCUUAACUUGGAGGUUCUUUGAAGAGGAGCUUCCGGAAAGGAAGGAUCACCUUGUUGGUAUAAUUAUUCUAUUAAUUAUAUUAAGCCAUGGGCACGGUCAUCAAACAAUGAUAAUAUUUUUACCUUUGUCUUUAUUGGUCACACAUGGUCGAACCAAGAUUUUUUUGCUCGUCAGCUCUAAUGUGUUGACAGGGAUAGGUGGUAUGUCAAUCUUCAUUUCUUGAAAUCUCAACCGGCCUUUAUUUAUAGUCGAUUGUAUUUGUCGACAAAAAACAUUACAACCAUUGGUGUUUUGAAGAAAUGAGCCAUACCAUUUACAAUAUGCACGCCUUUUCAAUUCUUCUAUCGAGGGAAUUGUAUGCGGCAAUUUAAUGUUACCAUUCUUAAGUAACUUGUCAAAUAUUUUAUCACACUUAGCAACAUUAAAUGUGAACUUAACUUUUCCCUUUUUGACGAGUGUAGAUGAGAGCGAGCAGAAGAUUUGGCCUUAACAGGCCAAACAAGCUCAACGACAUGUAACUUUUUCAGCUUAUCCCCUGAGCUACAAUCGCAGUGAUAUUCAUCCUAGGGCUUAGGUGACCGGCUAUCUUUAUGUUGGCCUUCUGCACUAGGACGGUCACAAGUGGCUUUCGGUAUUUCAGACAGUACGACCUGUGUGGUCGGACGAUCUGUGAAGGGAUCAAACGGUCUGGUAUUAUAUCCGGAGUGUUCAAUUGUGCCGAGCAUCGCCUGCGAGCCUUGUGGUGGGCUCUGUGUGACUCUGGACCGUCUAGCGUAAGGUGUCGGAGGGUCCGAUAGAGGGUCAGAUGGUUUGAGAUCGUGUGUGGACUGCCCGCCCGUGCUCAGAGUCGAUCCACCGUAUAGUGAAGAUGACGACAGCGGUUGCCCCGGAUAUGAGUUCGUCGGCAUUACCAUAAUAUAACUAGGACUGAGAAAACCCAUUUGUCGCUGAUGUGUUUGGCACAAUUGUUUCGGUGUCCAAUUCAUGUGACAAAAAAUUAUGCGUAUGAGAUUUUGCAUGCAUCAUUUUCUAGAUAUCCUUUGUCAUACUUUUAAUCCGAUUAUCAAAAGAAAUUUUAAUAGAUUGAAUAUCAUCGAAUGAUGCGGUGUCACUUAUAGUAGGUAGUUGUUGCAACAAGGCUGGCAUGGAAUUGUUGUUUAUUUCCCUCUCCAGGAGGACCUUCUGGUGGUGAUCUAUCAUGAAGUGCGAGAGGUGCCACUUUUCCAAUCGCGCUUUUGAGCUUGUGUUAACGCUGUAACUCCGUGUCCCACUUCUUCAUGUAGACUUUUAAUUCCUCAUGCUCGGCGACCGAUAAAUUAGACAGCCUUGUGUCGCUAUCUCGAGAAACAUCGUUGAGAUCUUUAGAGAAUCGGCCAUAGAAGCUGAUUUUUGUAGAUUUGCAACCUUCGUCCGCAGCGAAAUCAUCAAAAACUAUGUUGGAUCUGAUUCAGGGCUAGACACUAUGGGUGUACUACCUAGUGGUGCCCUUUGUGGCAGCAUGGACGUCCGCGGCUCUAGGCCAGACGGUCCGCGACCUCGCUGCAGCAGCGGCUCCUUCCCUGCGUCGCUCCAGACAGUCUGCUAUGACGCAUGGUCGUCUUCCUCCUCGUGAGAACCUAGAUCUCGUCCGCUAGGGGAGAGAUCUUAGGAUGCUUCUGAGUCGACAGGCCACCCGGGGCAUCCCAGAUGACGUAGAGUCGCCUAGUGAUUAAAAAAUUGAAAGGGAAUUAGGCUUACACCUAGUUCCUAUAUAAUUUUGGUGGUUGAAUUGCCCAACACAAAUCUUUGGACUAACUAGUUUGCUCUAGUGUAUAUGUUAUACAGGUGCUAAAGGUUCACACUUAGCCAAUAAAAAGACCAAGAGUUGGGUUCAACAAAAGAGCAAAGGGCCAACCGAAGGCACCUCUGGUCUGGCGCACCGGACUGUCCGGUGUGCCACCGGACAGUGUCCGGUGCACCACCGGACAUGUCCGGUGCACCAGAGGACUCCAACGCAAACUCACCACCUUCGGGAAAUUCCAGAAGCACUCGCGCUAUAAUUCACCGGACUGUCCGGUGUACACCGGACAGUGUCCGGUGCACCAAGGAGGAGCGGCCUCAGGAACUCGCCAGCUUCGGGAAUCGCCAACGGCUAGUCCGCUAUAAUUCACCGGACAUGUCCAGUGUGCACCGGACUGUCCGGUGCAACUCCGGAGCAACGGCUAACUCGCGCCAACGGCUACCUGCAGAGCAUUUAAUGGGCGCGCAGCGCGCGCAGAAGUCAGGCAUGCCCAUACUGGCGCACCGGACAGUGAACAGUGCAUGUCCGGUGCGCCACCGGACAUCAAGGCGGGCCCACAAGUCAGAACUCCAACGGUCAGAAUCCAACGGCAGUGAUGACGUGGCGGGGGCACCGGACAUGUCCGGUGCGCCAUCGAACAGAAAGGCUCCCAACGGCCACUUUUGGUGGUUGGGGCUAUAAAUACCCCAACCACCCCAUCAUUCAUUGCAUCCAAGUUUUCCACUUCCCAACUACUACAAGAGCUCUAGCAUUCAAUUCUAGACACACCAAAGAGAUCAAAUCCUCUCCAAAUUCCACACAACGCCCUAGUGACUAGAGAGAGAGAUUUGCUUGUGUUCUUUCGAGCUCUUGCGCUUGGAUUGCUUUCUUCUUUCUUGAUUCCUUCAUUGCGAUCAAACUCACUUGUAAUUGAGGCAAGAGACACCAAACUUGUGGUGGUCCUUGUGGGAACUUUGUGUUCCAAGUGAUUGAGAAGAGAAAGCUCACUCGAUCCAAGGGAUCGUUUGAGAGAGGGAAGGGUUGAAAGAGACCCGGCCUUUGUGGCCUCCUCAACGGGGAGUAGGUUUGCGAGAACCGAACCUCGGUAAAACAAAUCCACGUGUCACACUCUUCAUUUGCUUGCGAUUUGUUUUGCACCCUCUCUCGCGGACUCGUUUCUUUAUUACUAACGCUAACCCGGCUUGUAGUUGUGUUUAUAUUUGUAAAUUUCAGUUUUGCCCUAUUCACCCCCCCUCUAGGCGACUAUCAAUUGGUAUCGGAGCCCGGUGCUUCAUUAGAGCCUAACCGCUCGAAGUGAUGUCGGGAGAUCACGCCAAGAAGGAGAUGGAGACCGGCGAAAAGCCCACUACAAGUCACGGGAGCACUUCAUCGGAAGAGUCCCACACCAAGAGGAGGGAGAAGAAGAAGAGCUCCUCCAACAAAGGGAAGGAGAAGAAAUCUUCUUCUCACCACAAAGAGAAGAAGGAAAAAUCUUCUUCCCACAAGCCGCAUCGGAGUGGGGACAAGCAAAAGAGGAUGAGGAAAGUGGUCUACUACGAGACCGACACUUCAUCAACAUCGACCUCCGGCUCCGAUGCGCCCUCCGUAACUUCUAAACGCCAAGAGCGUAAGAAGUUUAGUAAGAUCCCCUUACACUAUCCUCGCAUUUCUAAACAUGCACCUUUACUUUCCGUCCCAUUAGGCAAACCACCAACUUUUGAUGGUGAAGAUUAUGCUAGGUGGAGUGAUUUAAUGCGAUUUCAUCUAACCUCACUCCACAAAAGUAUAUGGGAUGUUGUUGAGUUUGGUGCACAGGUACCAUCCGUAGGGGAUAAGGAUUAUGAUGAGGAUGAGGUGGCCCAAAUCGAGCACUUCAACUCUCAAGCGACAACGAUACUCCUCGCCUCUUUAAGUAGAGAGGAGUAUAACAAAGUGCAAGGGUUGAAGAGCGCCAAGGAAGUUUGGGAUGUGCUCAAAACCGCGCACGAGGGAGAUGAGCUCACCAAAAUCACCAAGCGGGAAACGAUCGAGGGGGAGCUCGGUCGGUUCCGGCUUCGCAAAGGGGAGGAGCCACAACACAUGUACAACCGGCUCAAGACCUUGGUGAACCAAGUGCGCAACCUCGGGAGCGUAAAGUGGGAUGACCAUGAAGUGGUUAAGGUUAUUCUAAGAUCUCUUAUUUUCCUUAACCCUACUCAAGUUCAAUUAAUUCGUGGUAAUCCUAGAUAUACUAAAAUGACCCCCGAGGAAGUAAUCGGGCAUUUUGUAAGUUUUGAGUGCAUGAUCGAAGGCUCGAGGAAGAUCAACGAGCUCGAUGAUCCAUCCACAUCCGAGGCUCAACCCGUCGCAUUCAAGGCGACGGAAGAAAAGAAGGAGGAGUCUACUCCAAGUCGACAACCAAUAGACGCCUCCAAGCUCGACAAUGAGGAAAUGGCGCUCGUCAUCAAGAGCUUCCGCCAAAUCCUCAAGCAAAGGAGAGGGAAGGACUACAAGUCCCGCUCUAAGAAGGUUUGCUACAAGUGUGGUAAGCCCGGUCAUUUUAUUGCUAAAUGUCCUAUAUCUAGUGACAGUGACCGAGGCGACGACAAGAAGGGAAGAAGAAAAGAGAAGAAGAGGUACUACAAGAAGAAGGGCGGCGAUGCCCAUGUUUGUCGGGAGUGGGACUCCGACGAAAGCUCUAGCGACUCCUCCGACGACGAGGACGCCGCCAACAUCGCCGUCACCAAGGGACUCCUCUUCCCCAACGUCAGCCACAAAUGCCUCAUGGCAAAGGACGGCAAAAAGAAGAAGGUUAAAUCUAACUCCUCCACUAAAUAUGAAUCUUCUAGUGAUGAUAAUGCUAGUGAUGAGGAGGAUAAUUUACGUACCCUUUUUGCCAACCUCAACAUGCAACAAAAGGAGAAACUUAAUGAAUUGAUUAGUGCUAUUCAUGAAAAGGAUGACCUUUUGGAUACUCAAGAGGACUUCCUUAUUAAAGAAAAUAAGAAGCAUGUUAAGGUUAAAAAUGCUUAUGCUCUAGAAAUUGAAAAAUGUGAAAAAUUAUCUAGUGAGCUAAGCACUUGCCAUGAAACAAUAGACAACCUUAGAAAUGAAAAUGCUAAUUUGAUAGCUAAGGUUGAUUCUCAUGUUUGCAAUGUUUCAAUUUCCAACCCUAGAGAUAAUAAUGAUGAUUUGCUUGCUAGGAUUGAAGAAUUAAACAUUUCUCUUGCUAGCCUUAGAAUUGAGAAUGAAAAAUUGCUUGCUAAGGGUAAAGAUUUUGAUGUUUGCAAUACUACCAUUUCCGACCUUAGAACUAAGAAUGAUAUCUUGCAUGCUAAGGUUGUAGAAUUAAAAUCUUGCAAACCCUCUACAUCUACCAUUGAGCACGUUUCCAUUUGUACUAGAUGUAGAGAUGUUAACAUUGAUGCUAUUCAUGAUCGUAUGGCUUUAAUUAAACAACAAAAUAAUCAUAUAGCUAAAUUAGAUGCUAAAAUUGUCGAGCAUAACUUAGAAAGUGAAAAAUUUAAAUUUGCUAGAAGUAUGCUCUAUAAUGGGAGACGCCCUGGCAUCAAGGAUGGCAUUGGCUUCCAAAGGGGAGACAAUGUCAAACUUAGUGCCCCUCCUAAAAGAUUGUCUAAUUUUGUUAAGGGCAAGGCUCCCAUGCCUCAGGAUAACGAGGGUUACAUUUUGUACCCUGCCGGUUAUCCCGAGGACAAAAUUAGGAAAAUUCAUUCUAGGAAGUCUCACUCUGGCCCUAAUCAUGCUUUCAUGUAUAAGGGUGAGACAUCUAGCUCUAGGCAACCAACCCGUGCUAAGUUGCCUAGAAAGAAAAUUCCUACUGCAUCAAAUGAACAUAGUCUCUCAUUUAAAACUUUUGAUGCAUCUUAUGUGUUGACUAACAAAUCCGGCAAAGUAGUUGCCAAAUAUGUUGGGGGCAAGCACAAGGGGUCAAAGACUUGUGUUUGGGUACCCAAAGUUCUUGUGUCUAAUGCCAAAGGACCCAAAACCAUUUGGGUACCUAAAGUCAAGAACUAAACUUGUUUUGUAGGUUUAUGCAUCCGGGGGCUCAAGUUGGAUCAUCGACAGCGGGUGCACAAACCACAUGACAGGGGAGAAAAGGAUGUUCUCCUCCUACGAGAAAAACCAAGAUCCCCAACGAGCGAUCACAUUCGGGGAUGGAAAUCAAGGUUUGGUCAAAGGUCUUGGUAAAAUCGCUAUAUCUCCUGACCAUUCUAUUUCCAAUGUUUUUCUUGUAGAUUCUUUAGAUUACAAUUUGCUUUCCGUAUCUCAAUUAUGUCAAAUGGGCUACAACUGUCUUUUCACUGAUGUAGGUGUCACUGUCUUUAGAAGAAGUGAUGAUUCAAUAGCAUUUAAGGGUGUGUUAGAGGGUCAGCUAUACUUAGUAGAUUUUGAUAGAGCUGAACUCGACACAUGCUUAAUUGCUAAGACUAACAUGGGUUGGCUCUGGCACCGCCGACUAGCCCAUGUUGGGAUGAAGAAUCUUCACAAUCUUCUAAAGGGAGAACACAUUUUAGGAUUAACAAAUGUUCAUUUUGAGAAAGACAGGAUUUGUAGCGCAUUCCAAGCAGGGAAGCAAGUUGGCACUCAUCAUCCGCAUAAAAACAUAAUGACGACCGACAGGCCACUGGAGCUCCUACACAUGGAUCUAUUCGGCCCGAUCGCUUACAUAAGCAUCGGCGGGAGUAAGUACUGUCUAGUUAUUGUGGAUGAUUAUUCUCGCUUCACUUGGGUAUUCUUUUUACAAGAAAAAUCUCAAACCCAAGAGACCUUAAAGGGAUUCUUGAGACGGGCUCAGAAUGAGUUCGGCUUAAGGAUCAAGAAAAUAAGAAGCGACAACGGGACGGAGUUCAAGAAUUCUCAAAUUGAAGGCUUCCUUGAGGAGGAGGGCAUCAAGCAUGAGUUCUCUUCUCCCUACACGCCUCAACAAAAUGGUGUAGUGGAGAGGAAGAAUAGAACUCUAUUGGACAUGGCAAGGACCAUGCUUGAUGAGUACAAAACCUCGGAUCGGUUUUGGGCCGAGGCGGUCAACACCGCCUGCUACGCCAUCAACCGGUUGUAUCUACACCGAAUCCUCAAGAAGACAUCAUAUGAACUCCUCACCGGUAAAAAGCCCAAUAUUUCAUAUUUUAGAGUUUUUGGUAGCAAAUGCUUUAUUCUUGUUAAAAGAGGUAGAAAAUCUAAAUUUGCUCCUAAAACGGUAGAAGGCUUUUUACUUGGUUAUGACUCAAACACAAGGGCAUAUAGGGUCUUUAACAAGUCCACUGGACUAGUUGAAGUCUCAUGUGACGUUGUGUUUGAUGAAACUAACGGCUCUCAAGUAGAGCAAGUUGAUCUUGAUGAGAUAGGUGAUGAAGAGGCUCCGUGCAUCGCGCUAAGGAACAUGUCCAUUGGGGAUGUGUGUCCUAAGGAAUCCGAAGAGCCUCCAAAUGCACAAGAUCAACCAUCCUCCUCCAUGCAAGCAUCUCCACCAACUCAAAAUGAGGAAGAGGCUCAAGUUGAUGAAGAAGAAGAUCAAUCAAAUGAGCUACCUCAAGAUGACGGCAUAGAUCAAGGGGGAGAUGCAAAUAAUCAAGGCAAGGAGGAUGAAGAGCAAAGACCGCCACACCCAAGAGUCCACCAAGCAAUCCAACGAGAUCACCCCGUCGACACCAUCCUCGGCGAUAUUCAUAAGGGGGUAACUACUAGAUCUCGGGUUGCACAUUUUUGUGAACAUUACUCGUUUGUUUCCUCUAUUGAGCCACACAAGGUAGAGGAAGCACUUCAAGAUUCGGAUUGGGUGGUGGCGAUGCAAGAGGAGCUCAACAACUUCACUAGGAAUGAGGUAUGGCAUUUAGUUCCACGUCCUAAUCAAAAUGUUGUAGGAACCAAAUGGGUCUUCCGCAACAAGCAAGAUGAGCAUGGUGUGGUGACAAGGAACAAAGCUCGACUUGUGGCCAAAGGAUACUCCCAAGUCGAAGGUUUGGAUUUCGGUGAAACCUAUGCACCCGUAGCUAGGCUUGAGUCAAUUCGUAUAUUAUUAGCCUAUGCUACUUACCAUGGCUUUAAGCUUUAUCAAAUGGACGUGAAAAGUGCCUUCCUCAAUGGACCAAUCAAGGAAGAGGUCUAUGUUGAGCAACCUCCCGGCUUUGAAGACAGUGAGUAUCCUAACCAUGUCUAUAAGCUCUCUAAGGCGCUUUAUGGGCUCAAGCAAGCCCCAAGAGCAUGGUAUGAAUGCCUUAGAGAUUUCCUUACUGCUAAUGGCUUCAAAGUCGGUAAGGCCGAUCCUACACUCUUUACUAAAACUCUUGAAAAUGACUUAUUUGUAUGCCAAAUUUAUGUUGAUGAUAUUAUAUUUGGAUCUACUAACGAGUCUACAUGUGAAGAGUUUAGUAUGAUUAUGACACAAAAGUUCGAGAUGUCUAUGAUGGGGGAGUUGAAGUAUUUUCUAGGAUUCCAAGUCAAGCAACUCCAAGAGGGCACCUUCCUAAGCCAAACAAAGUACACUCAAGAUAUUCUAAACAAGUUUGGGAUGAAGGAUGCCAAACCCAUCAAGACACCCAUGGGAAUAAAUGGGCAUCUCGACCUCGACACGGGAGGUAAGUUCGUGGAUCAAAAGGUAUACCGGUCGGUGAUAGGUUCUUUACUCUAUUUAUGUGCAUCACGACCGGAUAUUAUGCUUUCCGUAUGCAUGUGUGCAAGAUUCCAAGCCGACCCUAAGGAAGCUCACCUUACGGCCGUGAAACGAAUCUUGAGAUAUUUGGCUUAUACUCCUAAGUUUGGGCUUUGGUAUCCUAGGGGAUCCACUUUUGAUUUGAUUGGUUAUUCGGAUGCCGAUUGGGCGGGGUGUAAAAUCAAUAGGAAGAGCACAUCGGGGACUUGCCAGUUCUUGGGAAGAUCCUUGGUGUCUUGGGCUUCAAAGAAGCAAAAUUCGGUCGCUCUUUCCACCGCCGAAGCCGAGUACAUUGCCGCAGGUCAUUGUUGCGCGCAAUUGCUUUGGAUGAGGCAAACCCUGCGGGACUACGGUUACAAAUUAACCAAAGUCCCUUUGCUAUGUGAUAAUGAGAGUGCAAUCAAGAUGGCAGAUAAUCCCGUCGAGCAUAGCCGCACUAAACACAUAGCCAUUCGGUAUCACUUUUUAAGGGAUCACCAACAAAAGGGAGAUAUCGAGAUUUCUUACAUUAACACUAAAGAUCAAUUAGCCGAUACCUUUACCAAGCCUCUUGAUGAACAAACUUUUACCAAACUUAGGCAUGAGCUCAAUAUUCUUGAUUCUAGGAACUUCUUUUGUUAAAAAUUGCACACAUUGCUCUUCUAUAUACCUUUGAUCAUAUCUCUUUCAUAUGCUAUGACUAAUGUGUUUUUCAAGUCUAUUUCAAACCAAGUCAUAGGUAUAUUGAAAGGGAAUUGGAGUCUUCGGCGAAGACAAAGGCUUCCACUCCGUAACUCAUCCUUCACCGUCGCUCCAAGAGAUUCUCCAUUCUUGGGGGAGAAAAGCAUGAGCAUCAAAGAAAAGGACUUUGUCUUUGGGGGAGAGAGUAAGAGCCCAAGGCAAAAGGACCGGACUUCAUCUUUGGUAUAAUCUUAACUCAUUCAUUUAUGACCAAAGGGGAAGAAAGCACUUCAGAGGGCUCUAAUGAUUCCGUUUUUGGCGAUUCAUGCCAAAGGGGGAGAAAGUAAGAGCCCAAAACAAAAGGACCGCACCACCACCAAUUUCAAAAACUUAGUGUUGAAUAUUUUCAAUUAGUAUCCUAUUGUGUUCAAAAGGGGGAGAAAGUAGUAUUUCAAAAAUGAUAUAUCAAAACCCUCUUGAACACUAAGAGGAGGAUUUCAUUUAAGGGGGAGUUUUGUUUAGUCAAAGGAAAAGCAUUUGAAACAGGGGGAGAAAAUUUCAAAUCUUGAAAAUGCUUCUCAUAAUCUUAUUCAUUUACCUUUGACUAUUUGCAAAAGAACUUUGAAAAGGAUUUACAAAAGAGUUUGCAAAAACAAAACAUAUGGUGCAAGCGUGGUCCAAAAUAUUAUAAGUAAGAAACAAUCCAUACAUAUCUUGUAAGUAGUUAUAUUGGCUCAAUUCCAAGCAACCUUUGCACUUAUAUUAUGCAAACUAGUUCAAUUAUGCACUUCUAUAUUUGCUUUGGUUUGUGUUGGCAUCAAUCACCAAAAAGGGGGAGAUUGAAAGGGAAUUAGGCUUACACCUAGUUCCUAUAUAAUUUUGGUGGUUGAAUUGCCCAACACAAAUCUUUGGACUAACUAGUUUGCUCUAGUGUAUAUGUUAUACAGGUGCUAAAGGUUCACACUUAGCCAAUAAAAAGACCAAGAGUUGGGUUCAACAAAAGAGCAAAGGGCCAACCGAAGGCACCUCUGGUCUGGCGCACCGGACUGUCCGGUGUGCCACCGGACAGUGUCCGGUGCACCACCGGACAUGUCUGGUGCACCAGAGGACUCCAACGCAAACUCGCCACCUUCGGGAAAUUCCAGAAGCACUCGCGCUAUAAUUCACCGGACUGUCCGGUGUACACCGGACAGUGUCCGAUGCACCAAGGAGGAGCGGCCUCAGGAACUCGCCAGCUUCGGGAAUCGCCAACGGCUAGUCCGCUAUAAUUCACCGGACAUGUCCGGUGUGCACCGGACUGUCCGGUGCAACUCCGGAGCAACGGCUAACUCGCGCCAACGGCUACCUGCAGAGCAUUUAAUGGGCGCGCAGCGCGCGCAGAAGUCAGGCAUGCCCAUACUGGCGCACCGGACAGUGAACAGUGCAUGUCCGGUGCGCCACCGGACAUCAAGGCGGGCCCACAAGUCAGAACUCCAACGGUCAGAAUCCAACGGCAGUGAUGACGUGGCGGGGGCACCGGACUGUCCGGUGCGCCAUCGAACAGAAAGGCUCCCAACGACCACUUUUGGUGGUUGGGGCUAUAAAUACCCCAACCACCCCAUCAUUCAUUGCAUCCAAGUUUUCCACUUCCCAACUACUACAAGAGCUCUAGCAUUCAAUUCUAGACACACCAAAGAGAUCAAAUCCUCUCCAAAUUCCACACAACGCCCUAGUGACUAGAGAGAGAGAUUUGCUUGUGUUCUUUCGAGCUCUUGCGCUUGGAUUGCUUUCUUCUUUCUUGAUUCCUUCAUUGCGAUCAAACACACUUGUAAUUGAGGCAAGAGACACCAAACUUGUGGUGGUCCUUGUGGGAACUUUGUGUUCCAAGUGAUUGAGAAGAGAAAGCUCACUCGAUCCGAGGGAUCGUUUGAGAGAGGGAAGGGUUGAAAGAGACCCGGCCUUUGUGGCCUCCUCAACUGGGAGUAGGUUUGCGAGAACCGAACCUCGGUAAAACAAAUCCACGUGUCACACUCUUCAUUUGCUUGCGAUUUGUUUUGCACCCUCUCUCGCGAACUCGUUUCUUUAUUACUAACGCUAACCCGGCUUGUAGUUGUGUUUAUAUUUGUAAAUUUCAGUUUCGCCCUAUUCACCCCCCUCUAGGCGACUAUCAAAAAUCCAGUCAAGGAAGAGUAUCUUGAAUAAAGUGGAUCUUGCUCCCCGGGAGUGGUAGAAUGCUAUGGUCGUCUUGGGGUCGGCAAGCCACCCAAGACGGAUCUAGACGACGUUAAGUCGAAUAGAGGUGGAGGUGGAUAUGUGGAAAGCUAUAAUUAGAACUAUGUUGCAUCUACUUUUAGGAUAGACAUGAUAAAGAAAGUAAUAGACGAAUCUAGACGACGUUAAGUCGAAUAGAGGUGGAGGUGGAUAUGUGGAAAACUACAAUUAGAACUAUGUUGCAUCUACUUUUAGGACAGGCAUGAUAAAGAAAGUAAUAGAUUGGUUCGAUUAGAAUAUAUUCGGGGUUCCCAAUCAGUCAUAUCCUUUUAUAUUUAUAGGAGAGGAGGUCUAGACCUGUUUCUAGGCGAGAUCUAAUAGAUUUUCAUGGAUAUGUUAGGAUAACCACGUAUGAGAUAAGUAGUCUCGCCCGUUUAAUAUGGUCGUGAGGGUGCGAACCGGACCGGACCACAUGGUCGGACCGUCCGGCCGUGGCUAGGUGCCAAAUAUAGCACUCAACAAAUAUUAAUAGUUAUUUAAUAAAUUAGUGUAGGGUUUUAUCCUACAUUUGUAUAUUGAUCAAAACAAAAAAAAGUAUACACACUAAUAAUAAGGGUAACUGAAAUGUUUUACACGUGUUGCAUCCAUAGUUUUAUACUCUCUACUAUCACAUGCUUCAAUCUAUGGCAGGUAAGUAGAGAUGUCCAAACGGGCCGCCCGGCCCGGUCCGGCCCAGGCCCGGUGAAGCCCGGCCCGUUUUGGGCCCGGCCCGCCAGGCACGAUUAAAAAACUGGGCCGGGCCGGCUAAGCACGCGGGCUCAAUUUCUUGUCCGAGCCCGGCCCGCAACGGGCUUAAACAGGCCGGGCCGGCCCGUUUAGCACGAAAAAAACGGGCCGAAAAGCGGGCUAUGCGGGCCGAAAAGCACGUUUUAGUGUAAAAAAGCGGGCUUAACGGGCUUAGAGCUAAACGGGCCGUGCCGGGCUAGCCCACCGUGCCUAAUUUCCUGUCCGAGCCCGGCUCGCUUAUUCGUGCCGGGCCGGCCGGGCCCGCCUAUAACCGGGUCGUGCCGGGCUCGGACCGGACCCAAAAAGCGGGCUUCGUGCCGGGCUCGCGGGCCUCGUGCUUAUUGGACAUCUAUACAGGUAAGUGUCAUUUCUUUCAGAAGCAUGUCCCUGCAAGCUGUUACCGUGGGAGGAGACUUGUCGAAGAUCUAGCUAUUUCGAUAUUUCCAAAUAGAUCAAGACAUGAGUAUCAUGGCUUCCAUUCUCCACGGUUUUAUAAACUGAAGUCGAACUCUCUGUAUCGCCAGCGGUACAUUAGAGGUGUUUGGAACUGUAAUUCCAAACAGUUGCUAACAUCUUCGAACAAAGUUACACUUUAAGAAGAGAUGGGCAGUUUUCUUCCCAUUGUUAUAUGCAAUUUUAACAAAUAUUAAUAGUAAUAAUAAAGUUUUUGUAAUAAUAAUAAUCCAAUGCAAGAAGCGGCGCGACCACUAGGUAGGCCGGCCGAAUCUUAGCAAUUCGAUCUACUGCGUCGCGUCUAAGCAGAAAUUCGAAAACGCAAUAAUGCAGAAGGAAAAUAGGCAGCAUCUACUUUUGUUUUUGUUAAAAAAAUAUAAGGAAAAAAUGAACGGACAAUAUAUGAGAAAGGUGCUUGAUCGGAUCGGAGGCAGCGAUUUUCGAAUAUGGAAUUGCGUUGUUUUUUUCGACGGUUCGAGUAAACCGUCCGGAAUCGUUUUUUAUCCAACUGUGUCGCUAAACGUACCUUGUGGAUGCUUCUGCUAAUUAAUUCCUUGUCAUCAUUAUCAUCAGCAGUGGAUAAUUGCGUUGCGUUGCGCCGGAGAAAAGAGCCUAAACAUUCGAGCCGCCCGGCCCAUGCCCAAAAAAAACCUAUCCUAUUUGAAUUUAGGUCAUACCGGGCCGACCCACGGCCUGACACGUAAUUGAUUGAAUGGCCGUACUUAUUUCGGACGGCUCAAAAUUAUAAAAGUCUGAAAUUCAAUUUUUAGACCAAAAUUCACAUCAGGGCCCGAAAUUUAGUUUUUUGUCCGAAAUUCACAUUAAAGCCCGAAAUUCACAUAACCCUAAAUUCAACACAAAUUUAUAAAACAAAUAAAUUUGACCAAAAGCAAACUUAAUAUUUGUAUUAAGUUACCAGAGCUAUGUAAUGACUACCUCGUUUACAAAUCAUUUCGUUAGAAGGAAAAAAAGUAUAAUCAGCUCUAUACAAAGUUUGCAAGUUCAAUUCAUUAUCUAAUGUUUAUAACAAAAGUAAAAUUACAUCACCUACUCUAAUUCAAAGCUACAAAAAACAUCUAACUAGUAUUAUCUUUAGCUUUGUGUUCUUUAUCAAGUACAUGAAAGUGUGAUUUUAAUAAGUAUAUGGGCCUUUUCGUGCCUCUGUAUAGGCCAUUUCGUGUCUGCCUUAAAUGAGCCAUGCUUAUGCCCGUCCAUAGGCCGCGACCUUGCCCAAACCCGGCCUGAUAUUUCGGAUCGUGCCGGCCCUGCACUAAAAUAUUUUGGGUCGUGCCUGAGUCGUGUUUUUUUCGUGCUUCUAUCAGGUCCGGCCCAAAUGUACACCUAUAAAAGCCACAAACUCAGUUUGGAGAUCAAAUUAAACACAUAUCUAACUAGGGACUCAUAAAUGUUAAAAAUCCUAUGAAAAAACACAUGGGCUAAUCUAAACGUAUGUGCAUGAGAAGAGAAAUCUAGGCCUCAGAAUGGGCCAUAUAAACUCAUGAGCAGAAAGGGGCUCCAAACUCACGGGCUAACAAAUUUGAGCUUUUUUGGGUUCUCCACUGAUCAGGGCAAAGUUGAAUUAAGACAUUCCACUAAAGGGUCGACACAGAUCGAUCAUCAAACAUAGUCCAGAUGUGCUAGUGGAUCGAACGAAAGGGCAUAAGCCUGUGGAUCAUGUCAGGGGCGGAGCCACGUUGGUCCAAGUGUUGUCCAUGGACAGCAAUGCUUUUAAUAGAAGUCCAUAAUAUUUGUUAGUAUUCACUAUAGAUGACAGCAGCCUGUAGUGUAGUUGGACAUCAAUCCGGCCUCUGAUUUGUUUGUUUAAGUAAUGUUAUAUGAGAGGUAAAUACUUGACUUUGUUUAAAUAAUGUUAUUUUGACUUAAUGUUACAUUAUAUGGUAGUACAUAUUGAAUUGAAAUUGAAACAUUUUUUACACAUUAAUUGCACCGUGACAUCAUUAGUAAAAAAUUCUACAUCCACCCCUGGAUCAUGUGAAAGGGCAACGUCUCAAUCUCUCAGGCGUUGUUCGCAGGGAUGCGGCACGAUACCUGUAGGCGGCCCCGUGGAGAUGUUUUCCCUGCCGUGGAGGUCGUCCUCGUGACCCAGCAGCCGCCAGCUUGACCCAAAACUCUGCUACAACGUCAUCCAAUGGGUGUGGUUCUUUCUCCUCACUCUGCCGUGUUCGAUCCAUUAUGAGUUUGGAUCUACUUCUCCUUUUUUUAUUGGUUUCUUCCCACCCUUCUUCCUUGUUGCUUUCUCGGUAACGAAUGAUGACUGCUGAGAACUUCAAUCAGAAAGAACAAGUAUAAAGUUUGUAUGUAUGACUGACCUAGAUAAGUUCUCAUAUGUUCCCUGUAAUCUCUAUGGUUCAUAGCUUUCUUAACAUUUUCUAGAGGAAAGCUUCAGUUUGUUUUCUGGUUUUAGAGCUUCCAGUUUUUUGGUAAUUCUAGUCUAUUGUUUAUUAUCAGCUGUCAAUGUCCUGGAGACUGGAGUUGGAUUACCGAUUUGUUUAUAUAUCGAUCGUUGUCCAUACUUCCCUUCUAUAUGUUCGGGUGGAGUUAAUUAGUAUCAUAUAAACUCUGGUCACCAUUCUGAUUAAUUGGUGUAUGUUAGUUACAAUCACACCACUUUGUCUUUGAUCACUAUUAUUAAUGAUUGUAGUUGCACUUGUCCUCCAUUUAAGCAGCUACUGCCAUCACCUGCUCUCCUCUCGGUGCUACUUUAAUUACUGUUUGAGUCUAUUUUAGAUUAAUUUUAGUUUGAAUGUUGACUGCUCUCGGUGCUAAUUUCAUUACUGUUUGAGUCUGCUCGAUGUAAGAUAAUUAACCAGACUCUAUUUCAAUUGUAUGCUCCGAGCUUAGAGUUUAUGACACACAAGAGCUUACAAAUGCAGAAAGUAUAGUGCCUUUGCAGACCAGUUUUUGCCUUUUGUUGUUCAGUGUAGGUUGUUUUUGGUCCCCUACCUGAGAUAUUACUGUAGAUUGUUUUCCUAAUUUGGUUGAAAUUAACUUAGUAUAAGGACAUAUCAUCAUGUGCCAAAUUAACUGAUCGUAAAUAUUAUAAAAAAAAUGUAUCACUAAAUAACUGAUCUUAAAUAUAUGGAUAGCUGAUCGCCAUGUUCUAGAGUUAGAUACUGCUAUAAGCGUGUUGUUGUUGUGUGUGUAUAUAUAAAUAAUAACUGGUACAAUUUCAAUAGGUGAUUUUGCAGCCUAGGCCAUGGAGGGGGUUUAAUUUCAUCGGCUCUAGAAAUAGACGAGGCUAUCUCAACUGGCCAAUCAAGCAAAUCAACAAAAAGAAGGGCUAAAGUGUGGGAUUCAGAAAGAAGGGCUAUCAUGUUGAUUCAGAGCUAGUAGAUGGGAAAGAGAAGGCGAUUUGCAAAUAGUGUAAGGUCCACUUAUCUUAUGCUACGGGUAAAGGUACAACUCAUAUGAAUAGGCACAUUUCUGUGUAUUGCCAUGCAAUGCCACCAGAAGAGAUACAAAGGUUCUUAGCGACCCAAAAAGCAAAGCCCGAUGUUGCUCAUGUUUUCAACCCUGUAGUCUAUCGUGGUCUAAUAAAAUAAGGAAAUUCCAUUUCUCUGUUGGCGCUGUUACGAGAACGAAAAAAAAUGAAAAAUGAAUCUUCUGUAUCGUUCUCGUGCCUUCAUAUUGAUGACAAUAGGGUUCAGGGUCCAGAACUGCCUCCAUUCUAAGUCAAACCACAACAUGUACAAUGUUAGGUUGCAUAGGUGUUAUAUGGACUUAAACAAUCUUGGGGAAUAUGGUAUAAUUGGCUCAGUGAAUUUCUUGUGAAGAAGGGAUAUAUAAAUAAUUCAGAUUCUUCUCACGGGUUUAUUAGAAAAUCUCAUAAGGGUUUCUAUACCAUUUUGGUCUAUGUUGAUGACAUAAAUAUCACAUGAUACGUGGAGGAUAUUGAGGAGACUAGUGUCCAUCUCAAGGCAAAGUUUGAAAUGAAAGAUUUGGAUGAAACUAAGUUUUGCUUGGGCCUAUAGGUUGAGCAUUUCCUUAAAGAAAUAUUUGCACACCAAUCAAACUAUAAUAAGAAAGUCCUCGAGAGAUUUAACAUGACCAAAACUUACCAUUUGAAGACCCUAGUGGUUGCAAUAUCCCUUAAAAGUACUAAUGUAUCAUGCAAAUUGCUAGCUAGACACAACGUAAAAUCCAAGCAAAAACAUUGGACAUGCACUAAGACUAUACAAAAAUACCUUAAAGGCACUCAAAAUCUUGGACUGUUUUCCGAACAAUUAGGACUAAACUUUGGUGGACUAUACAAAUGUUGGUUAUCUAUUAUAUUCCCAUUAUGCUAGAUCUUAGAAUGGCUUUGUGUUUCUUUGUGGUGGUACAGUCGUAUCCUAGAAAUCGAGCAAAUAUACACUAGUAGCUACGUCUACUAAUCACUCAUAGACAAUCACAUUAUAUAAAGCCACAUGAGAAUGUACUUUAGCUAUGACAUAUGACUAACACAUCCAAAAGUCAUAUGGCUUUGAUACCACAAACACCCCAUAUUUAUCUUUGAAGAUAAUGUGAUAUGUGUUGCAUAAAUAGAAAUAACCUAUAUUAAGAGUAAUAUGACUAAGCAUAUUUCUCCCAAACUUUUCUAUCCUCACAAACUCUAAAAUGAGAGUGAGGUGAAAAUUAUACAAUUCAAGUAUUUUGAUAAUCUGGCUGAUUUAUUUAGUAAAUUAUUUUCUAUAAUCACAUUCAAAAGAUAUGUUUAAGGUAUAAAAAAUAAGGCGUGUAAGAGUCAUGUAGGGUUCAAGGGAGGACACUGAAAUGUUAUCCCUUACUAUUGGGUCCAAAAGGUCAUAAGCUAUGCAAGCCUGAAGGCAGUAGUUGUUCUUAAGACAAUCAUUGUACUUCUUUUUUCUUUGUAAGUUUUCUUGAAAUUUCUCACUUAUUGUUUCUAACGAGGCAAUGAGUACAAUACAUGGACUGCCACUAUGGACUCUUCACCUUUUCUAAUGGUGUUUUUUGGAGUUUUAACGAAGCAUGAAUUACUCACGGUAUUCUCCUAAGAGAGAGUGUUAAGAACCCUACGAAGGGUUAUAUGAUAUAAUACCAAAUGUAUCCCUAGAGGACUCUACCUUUCUAUAUAAUAAACAUGUACCCUCAAAAAUAUAACAAGAUAAGAGAUCCUUCACUAUUGUCUCAUGUAUCACUUUGUUUAUGUCGCAGUGGAAAGAGAAACGAGAAACAAAUCUUCUAUAUCUUCAUCACACCUCUAUUACUGAAGGAAAAGUUAUGUGUCCAGAUCUAGGAGCUAUGAUCAUAAACUUAACUUCUCGUCAUUGUGUGAGCAUCAACGCUGAAAUUACAACUCUCAAGGAUAGUCUUUGCCAAGAUAUAAUUCUCCAAAGUCAUCUUUAUAUCCUUGAUGCAUGAUCACCUAUCCAUAAAGCCCCAUCCAAGUUUUUUUAUGAAAUAGGAGGGGUCUUGUCCCUAGCUUCAUGUAUAUUUCUGACAAAAUUGGUAUGGUCAUUUGAAACUCUUGAUGUGCACAUGAGAGGCUAGCGACAAGUCUUUUGAGCAUGCCAUAAACAAAGGUGGAAAGAAGGAAAGGGAUGGACGGACACGGGAAUACCAGCGUCAGAAGGUCCGUUGGGGUUCAAGUCGUCACACUUUGAAAGGGAAAUGUGCCCUUAGUCUAUUUCUAGUUGUUUUGGUGAUUAAAUGUUCAACACAACACAUUGGACUAACCACUUUGAUAUGAGAAUGAGUACAGGUGCAUAAAGGGCAAGUUGAAGAUAUCAAGUCCAUACGAGCUGAAUCGAAGGGCCAAAAGUGCAACUUGGAGCAAACCAACAUAAACAUGAGGUUUAAGUGUUUGAAUAAGUUGCACACACCCUACUCCAUGUUUCUAGCACUUUGUUUUGACCACUAACUCUAUUUUGCAAGAAAAGUGCAUUUUGAAUUUGGUCUUGGACAUAUUGCAAACUCUAUGAAAUGGAGAUGAAAAAGGUAUGGUCCCAACACUUAGUAAUUUGUUUUAUGUGCUAACUAUGUUUGUUUUAGUGUUAGGGAACCUCCAAAGAAGAGCCAAAAGAAAUUGGAGGAGUUUGGCUCAAAAGAGCCAAACGUGGGCCAGUCUGUGAGUCACCAGACUGUCCGGUGGUGCACCAGACUGUUCGGUGCCGCGUAUGGAUGAAGUUUGCAGCCUCAGAAAUUUUAAUUAUAAAAUUCACCGAACUAUCCGGUGUGCAUUGGACAGGGGCUCCAACGGCUCUCUCCGCCCGCCGCGUCCGCUGGCACCAACGACUAGCUGGCGUGGCAUCUGUCCGGUGGGGCACCGGACUAUCUGGUGCCACGUUGAAAAGGAAGUCGGCCAAUCAGAUCGUCGCCUAACCAUUGCUGAUCGCAUUUCGAGUGGUUCAUCGGACUGUCCGAUGCACCCGCAUACAUGGAAACUUUUCAGUUGUCUUGUGAAGACUCCAAAGGUUCCUAUGUCUCUUGGGACUAUAAAAUGGACUAUUGAUUUAGAUUUAGUGGUAUUUUGGUUUAUUUUUAUUAAUCGCAUAACUGGUAAAGGAAUACUUAGGGCAUGUUUUAGAAUACUGAUUUUCAUAUCCAUAGUUUAUAAUAUCAUAGUUUACCAAGUACUUCCUCCAUUCUUUUUUAUUUAUCGCGUUUUAGUUAAAAAAUGAACUAGCCGGUGAUAAAUAUUCGAGAACGGAGGUAGUACCAUGACAUAAAUAUAGUAUGUUUUAUAUUAAUUUAAUCCAACACAUGUUUGGAGACAUAGUAUCAUGUUUGCAAUGUAGGAGUGGAGGAGAAAGCCAAAGUUUUUAAAGUCCUAAAAAUAUUAUGGUGUUGGUGAAACCAUAAUUUGAAAUACAGAGUUUAUAGAUAACAUAUAUGCUUAUAGAUAAUAUAUAUGCUUAAAUAUCACAAUAUUAUCUUGGACUAGAAAAACAAUGUGUUUCUAAACAGGCCCUUAGGUGUUUGAAUGACGAUAAAAAUUCUUAGAUCAUAUUGUCCAAGAAAACUUUUAGGAUUCAAAAUCGUCCUAAAAAACUUAAUGUCUUAGUAGCUCUUUAAAGUAGACUAGGCCUAUAUUACCUUGGGAUUGUGGUAUUCAUGGCUUCAUGCAUUCCUUAUAUUGCUACUGUUUUCAUUUAUGUAAAAUAUUUAUGGCUAGUUGAUUGUGAACGUGGGUUUAGAACCAACAAUUAUAGUUCGAAUCUCCAUUUAUACAUAGUUUUAUUAUUUGCUCGUCACCAACAUUAUUUUUCUCGCUCAACGAAAAGGUCAUAUCUUUGUAAUCCAUACAAUGCAUUGCUUUCAAGCAGGUGAAGCAAAGCAAAGCCAAUAAUGAUUCAUUCAUUCAGUAGGAGAAAGGAGAUGAGAUCUCAUACAUAGUUGAUUCAGAGUACAGACAUAAGACAUCAUCAGAAAUUCAUAAUGCAGCAGCCUAUGACCAGGCCCUUCUCUUGAGUCAGUGACCCCCCUUCCUCGCGCAAGCAGGCUGACAAAUGUUGGAACACUAGCCCCACAGUGGCUGGCUGUCUGACGCAAACACCACUCGAGAAGUCCGAGAUGCAUCGCACCCGGCCUCUUUUAUUUUGGGAUCGCCGCAGCCAGCAGAAUUAUUAUUAGGGUACCAGCUAGUAGUUUCUUUCGUUCGUUCCUGCAAACGCAAGCAACAACAACGAGAGUCAGCAAUGGUGGUUGUAUUGUACUAGAGAGUCAUUAGUAGGUUAGGUGGAACUGGAAGAGGGCAAACCGCAAAGGCACAGUGAGUAGUUGACUUACACCAAGGGAGGAUCUUCCAGCGCUGGUUGUCGCCCUCGCACCACUUCCAGAGCACGAUCUCGGUACCGUCAUGGACGCCGCCGUGGGCCUUGUCGCCGUGGAAGGCGUCGAAGUUGAGGUAGAUGUUGUUGACCAUGCGGACGCAGCGGAAGCCGUUGCCGACGUCGCGGCUCUCGGUCCAGAGCACGGACUCGUCCUGGUAGUCCGGGUUGUAGGGCACGAGCUUGACGGGGUGGCCCUGCCCCGUGGAGUGCUUGAGCGCCUCGCCGGUGACCUUGUUGACGAGCGCGAAGGCCGGGUAGCCCUCCUC
RNAcentral lists this long non-coding RNA (72088 nucleotides) under Zea mays. RNAcentral describes it as "long non-coding RNA (ZMAY_LNC004618)". The record is from RNAcentral. Lineage: Eukaryota; Viridiplantae; Streptophyta; Magnoliopsida; Poales; Poaceae.